AUUAAAUUAAAUUAAUUUUUUUUUGAGCAAAUACUAGUUUUCAUUCAUUCAAAUCAAAACUAAGUACAAGAAGGAUUCAAAGAACCCAGAGUUUAGAACAACAUAAAGAGAGGCAUUCCCCAAUGCCACAAGAAGAUAGAUAAGAUAGAUCAACAAAGGUUCCAUGAGAGCUAUAAGCCAAAAGCUAGACAACAUUUUGACGCAUGUGAGAUCAUGAAUAGUUGAGAGGUCUUCCACGAACGAGUCGAUGGAUGAUAAGAUGGUCACGGUCAAAAGACAAGGUGACGUUGAUGAAGAGUCCAAAGUUGUGAAUCUCGCUGGUUGGUAGCAUAGGAUUCGGACCUUGAGGGUGUUGAUGGCUAGAUGGUGCUUGAAGAUGGUAGAUAGAUUUGUCGGAAAGUAGUAUUUGGACAUAAAGCUUUGGUGACAAUAAUCACACCGUGACGUAUUGGAAUCGGGAACAAACGACCAUAAUACUUCAAGCAAAAGGAGUCAUAGAUCAUAGCGAUAGGUGAAUCUAACAGCAGGGUUCUUAGGAAAAACUCGUAAAUCCAUAGCAUCGAAGGUGAUUUACAUCUCAAAUGGAGUCCUUGGCCAUUGAGAUUACUAAAUCGACACAACAAUUGACUAGAGAUUGACAAAUAAAAUUCUGAAACAGACCUGGGCUUGUUAAAACUUGGAGGUGGGCCAUAGCAAACGGAUUUGGGCUUAGGAGAGGUUAAUGGGCCACUUUUGGAAGCAGAGCCCACCAAAGAAAACCCUAGUUUCUCUUCCGUUAGCCAAUUCAGAUUGAGAAGACGGCGGCUGUACGGAGAUGAUGGUGAGAAAUGCGAUGAAGCAAGGCUCUCUGGUGGAGGCAAAUACGGCGUUUGUAACCUAUGGGCAUGGUCCAAGGCGGAGGCUGAGAACAAUAGAGGAUUGGCCUUUCCGGUGAGGAAGACCGUCUCCCAGGCAAGAGGAUCGUCGUGCGCCGUCGACGUCUUCACCGGGCAUGGCGCAACUGACGGUCCAAGAGAGAUAUCUCCUGCCAUCAACGAAGCCCGGUGUAAGGAAUCUUCUGGGGAAUUUGAUAGAGCAUGUGCUGUCCGUUCUGGCCAAGAAGCUACGAGUAGAGGGUGGGGGAGGAAGUUUGCCGGACACCACCUCUGUCCAGAGUCGCUGAUUGAUGCGUAGCCGCCGAGAUAUGAUGGAUUCGAGAUGGUUCGAGAGAUUUGAAAAAAGGUUACAGAUCUGUGAAAAUUAUUCAAAAAGAGGGGAAAAAAGAAAAACAUUGUGAAGCAAAGAUAAGCGAGGAAAGUGAUGUCCCGACGCCGGCAAGCAAGGGCUUCGCCGGCGUCGGAAAGCUUGCUCAAAGAGGGUGUCUCGAUGUUUGGGCCCGAGAGAAAAGCUUGUCUCAGGAGCUUUGGGUGCAAUGAGUCUAAUUAAAUUAAAUUAAUUAAAUUGCAUAAAAUAGUAUUUGACUUGUUUAUCCUUAAUGAGUUGAAUUAAUUUACUCUAUAAAAUUUUAUUUCUAAUGACAUUCUUAAGUAAAUUCUUACACAGGGGAAGGUUAAUUAAGGGUAAUCCAUAAAUUAUACUCCCCAAAAUAAUAGUAAAGGAUUUUCAAUGUUGACAAACGCAUGAGAUUUAGUUAUGAUGUUUUUUUUUUUUUUUUUUGUCAUCUGAAUUUUAUUGAUAAACCAAGGAAGGAUACAAGAUGAAAUACAUAUGCCGGCGGACUAUACGAAUGUCCCCAGAAACAUUAGCCCAAACAAGGGAAACAAAGCCCUAAAGUACAGGGAAACUGAUUCAAGCCAAAAGUAAAGGCAAAAUUCUAAAGAAUAAAACUACGACAAAGAGAGAAAGCAAUCUAAGCACUAUAAUUGAACAAAGGCACGAGAGACUCUCACAAUGCUUCCCUAAAGAACCUGUAAACGCCGGUAGCACCAAUAAGACCGGAUUGACCUCACACCGAAGACAAACCAGUAGCAUACCGACAGGGAGGAAAGCAAGAACCCAACGCGACCAAAGACACAAAUACAACUACCAACACUCCUCACCAGCCAAUCGGAGAAAGCAAGAAACCCUAGGUUCAAGGCAAAAACCUUGAAAUCGACCGGAGACAAACCACGAGAGAUCAACAAUUCUUACACGCGGACACUCGUCGAACCAAAUUCAGCCACCUACAGACUUAAAAAUGACGACGUCCUCGCAAGAGAAGAACUAGAGAACGAUUCCACUGCUUCGACUAGAACCUAACUCCAAAACUUCCAAAAGAAACUCAAAGAUAGGCUAGUAGGUGACUCAGCAACAAAAUCCCAUCAAGAUGGCUCACACCGAGAACGAACCAAGAGAAAACCGCAACCACUAACCAGCAAGAGGACUCGAAGGAGAGGUAGAACAAAGAUCCAAUUUCAAACCCACGAACAUAGCCAUCACCAUCGAAAAGAGCCUCACAAACCAUAACGAACCUAAAAGUAGCAACCUAAAUUGAUUCCAUCUAACCCAUAGAAACAGAAGGCAAGCUUACCCGACGAGAGAACUGACAAGACCACGGCCAUUGAUUCGUAAACCACCAAAACUCAAGAUCCACCAGGAUCCCAAAAUUUCGCCCAUUCUUCUAUGAACAGAGCACCCGCCAGAUCCACAGAUCUCGGACACCCAACAACAACUCUCAGAGGAGAAGCUGGCCACCGACAAAGCCAAACAGCCUCGCCGAGAAGAUCCACAGUUUUCGUCAAGUGAAGCCCUUCUCCAUAGAUAACCAUGAGCUAAACGAAUUGCAGAAACAACUAACAACAUCGAAAGCAAACUAAAGGCCCCUCUCACAGCAGCGGCGAAGAGCGCCGGCCACCGGAGAGGGCGAGCGAAGAACUGGUUUUGUUGGGCGGCGGCUGUUUGAGAGCGUUUGUGUCGAUUAGGGUUUUUGCCUCUCUUCACUCUCUUUCUUCCUCUUUUUUGUUCUCUCAAUUAUUAAUUUUAUUUUGUUUGCAAUAUCUUCUUUUGAUUUAGUUAUGAUGUUUAAGCUGUUAAAUUUAUGUCCACAUUUCAUAUAUACAUGUGUUCGAGUAUUUGCUAUUUUGAACAUAUAAGAUUAAACCAAAAAACUCAUAUAUCUAAACGUAAUACAAAAAAAUGACAAUAAAAGUGUAUAUAUAUAUAUAUAUAUAUGUUGUUUUUAUUACCAAGAAAAAUGAAUAUAUAUUGUAAUUCCUCUCUCUUGUAUCAUUAAAAAAAAAGAGUUUAUGGGAAGAAAUGGUAAAUGUUAUUCAAUAACGCCCAAACAUCUGUGGUCUACUGACAGAGGAAACUUUGGAAAAUGGUGAAACUCCCAUACCUGAGUUCGAUUUUCCCUGGAAACAAAAACAUUUGUUUGGAAGUCUGUCAGUUGGGCCUUGCCCCAAUUGGUUUACCUAGUAGCCAGAAAUGCAGGCGGCCUGACUACCCUCUGGCAUUAGUCGGAAAGCACUCCAAACUCGGAUCAGGCAGUGUGGUGGCCCAAUUCUGGAUCUCAUGGUCCGUUCGACCCGAGUCCGCUCGGAGCUCAUGGUAUCCGUUGAAUCGUUGAACCGCGGGAGAAGUUCACUCUGGAGCACCUCAGUGCGUUUCUACCGAGGCUGACCGGAUCAACCGAUAGAAUUUAUCAAAAAAAAAAAAAAAUGUUAUUCAAAAACUAGUUUUCUAAAUUUCAAAAAGAAAACUAUUUUUCUAAAAUUUUGAAUACUCAAGUAAUUUCUUUGAAAUAUAAAACCGAUAAGUCUUUAAAAUUAAAACCAUUCGUAAAAGCGUUAUGUGGUGUCUCAUCCAUCAUUUAACUACUCUUAAUUUUUCGUUUGACAAGGACCUGAAUAAUGUGAUGCCUCCCACAGAACUAUCUCAUUUAUUAGUCUACGGGAGAAAAUAUGGAGUAGUAUUUUUUUUCUAGAUGAUUGUAAUUGUGAUUUUUAACACAUUUUUAAUCGUUUUUAACCAAAGUGUUAUAUCAAUAAAAUGUUCAAAUAACAAACACUCGGUUCUAUGGUGUAGUGGUUAGCACUCUGGACUUUGAAUCCAGCGACCUGGGUUCGACUCCCGGUAGGACCUCUUUUUUAAGCAAUUAUUGUUGUUUUGGGCCUUCAAUUUCCUUUUUUUGUUAGGACCCAAUACUUAACGAUUGAUAACACUAAUGUCUGACUCAUUAGAAAACUUGGGGUCGACUCGAACUGGGCUAAAUUUUUGUUUCCCUCAUUUUCUUCCUCUGUAUCAAAAAGAAGAAUUCUAUGUAUCUCCCAUAUAUAAAUACAAGAAAUAUCUGAAAACGAGAUGAAUUUUUCACGAAUUAUAUAUUUUCAAUUACUUAAAUAAUUUAAUAUGUGGCAGUUACAUGUUCAGAGAUAACUUGAAUAAAUUGAUCACGAGAUCGGUUUAUAUAUAAUUAAUAUUCAUGAACUCUUGGGAAUUUUUUUUUUCCAGUAUUUGUGAAAGUUUGGGGUUUGUCUUUAACUCUUGUGGUAUUUGCGAAAGUUUUAGGUAAUUUGGUGUUUUAUAUAAUACUAGUCGCGAAAGACGGGAGUAUCAAGUAGAGAAAACGGCCAAAAUCAACAUCAAUUAUCUCCAUACAGUUUUUUUUUUAAUCCAAAUUCUGAUCCUAUGUACCUAUCAACCCAAACCCACAUAAAAUUUCGAAUAACAAACCAGAACUAUGUAACCAUUAGUCAAUUUCAACAUAAUUUUUUUUCUGUAUUUGUUAAUAUCAAUUAGAAUUGUGAUGUCGUAAUUAUAUGUUCUUUUGUUUUUGAAUCAUUUUUUUUAUUCAAUUGGCUAAAUGUUACAUAAUUCAUGUUUGUUAUAUUAUAUAGUAACAUGUAUAUGUUGAAAUUGGCUAUCAGUUACAUAGUUCAUGUUUGUUACUUGAAAUUCAUGUGAGUUCGGGUUGAUAAGUGCAGAGAGUCAAAAUUUGGAUUGAAAAAGCCGCAUGAAAAUAGUUGGGGUUGAUAUUGGCUGUUUUCUCUUAUCAAAUAUGGUGGUAUACUAGUAUUUGUCAAAGCUUUAGUUGAACGAGUGAAAAGUUUGUGGUGCUUUGUAAUAUGUUUAAUGAAUGGUUUAAUUUUUCUCGUUUUACUCACGAUAUUCUUGCAAGUAUGAAUUUGGUUGUAUAUAAAAAGAAGUAGUAGGGAUUUUUAUGUGAGCAAUUGAGCACCACAUAAAUGCGAGAUGAAUGAGAGUUUUUUUUUUGACAUUUUUGGAUCGACAAGACCCGAUCCAUAGCUAAUCCCUACUACGCGGGGUAACGUGACUCAGUAGAGUCGAAAUCCGGUGGGGAAGGCGAAAUCUAGUGGACUUAACCACUUACUAAAGGCACAUCCUCGCUAAACGAGGGUUUUGAGACGUAUUUUUGUAAAAUCGGUUUUAUUGAACGUUAUACUAUAUAGUAUCACAUAAAUAUAACUGCUAACCACUAAAUUUAGAUACUAAAAUUAGUAUUGAUCAUUUAAGAAAAAAAAAUCAGCAUUGAAGAAGAUCCACAUGAAUAAGACUAGUCUCUUAAUACAAAUUUAAAAUAUGAUUUUCAUAUUAUUGUUCAUUUAUCUUUGUGUUGGUCAUUGGUGCCAGACUUUAUUAUUUACAUUUAAUGUUGAGUUGCUUGCUGACAUAUUUUUUUAAUUAACGAACUUUAUAUUAUUGCCCAUUUAUGUUUCGGUUGGUGCUCCAAAGACUUAUCAAAUACUAUAUGUUUCUCCAUUUUCAUUUUAAGGAUCUAAACCGUCUUUUUCCAACUUAGAUUCCAUAUGGUUAUAGCAAACCGGAUAUACUAAUUUGGUCAUUUUAGCGGUAUAUUUUUAUCGUUGGGGUUACCAAUCAAACCCGGUAUUAAAAUACAAUUGUCACCAAAUUAAUGCGGUUAGGUAAAUUUAAUUUAUUAGAAAUUAAGAAAAAAAAUAACGAACAAAAUUUUCCUCAUACACAAAAAAAAAGAAAAAACCCUGACUCGCUCUAUUAGUCAAUCCCCUUCCCUAGUCCUCCUCUCUUCAAGCUUUUCACAGAAACCACCCUUCUCUCUCUACUGCCUUUUACCACUGAGAAGAGAGAGAGAGAGAGGAUCCGUCGGUGUGUACUAAUCUCACUGACACUACAUCCGAUCGUCGCCGGUAAGUUGAUUUCGUUACCUUCCGAUCAAUUUCUUAACCGGGCCAGAUGAACUUGUUUUCCGUUCGAAAUUCUGACUUGAACUUGUUGUCAAUUCCUCAAACGCUUUCUCUUCAAUUAUCUUACUGCUUCGUUGCUGAUCUCUACUUGUUUUCCUCCGUUUUGCAUUUUCCAGUGGCGUUUCUUAGUGUUUCACUAGAUUUAGACUGGUUUUGCUUGUGUGCAUUUUGUCGUCUGUGUUUAUGAUUGCUCUCUUUAGCUCCAUGUUUCUCUGGAUUCAAUAAAAUAUGAGUUCGCUGCUCUGGAUUUUGUUUUAUUUUUCGGAUUUGUUUGCUCUAACGAGUUAAGCUGGUUUGUUUGGUUGUUCAUUUUCAUAAUCUGUCCAAAGAAUCGAAUCACAGUAGCUCGGAUCUGAGAUUGAUUUGUUUCUUUGCGUCUUUGUGUACAGAUUUGACUUCAAUUUUGAGAUUGUUUUGUGCUGAUAUAGCUGAAUUAAUAUAGCCUUUUGAUGUGUUAUUAUCAAUCUACAGGUGACAUUUUAUAAGUGUGGAGUUGCUUUAUUGAUGGAUCAGGUUGGUGUAAAUAGUUGUUUCAGUUCUUAGUCACUGCUUAAUCUUUUGACGAGAGUCUUUGUUAAUGUGCUCUUAUUGAUACAGUACGAGAAAGUUGAGAAGAUUGGUGAAGGAACUUACGGUGUGGUUUAUAAGGCACGAGACAAAGUCACUAAUGAGACAAUAGCUUUGAAGAAGAUAAGGCUAGAGCAGGAGGAUGAAGGUGUACCUAGUACAGCCAUUAGAGAAAUCUCCCUCUUGAAAGAAAUGCAGCACAGCAACAUUGUCAAGUAUGAAGUUAAUGCCAUUGUCGAUAACUGAUUCAGCAUGAUGACUCUGGUGAACAAUUUUGACUGAUAUUUGUUGCUACGCAGAUUGCAGGAUGUGGUGCACAGUGAGAAACGUUUGUAUCUGGUUUUUGAGUAUCUUGACUUGGAUCUCAAAAAGCACAUGGAUUCAACCCCUGAUUUCUCCAAGGAUCUACAUAUGAUCAAAGUGAGUGCUAAGAAACUUUAGGCAUAGUUUUAUAUAUGUGCUAGUGUUAUGUGAAAGUACUUUAACAAACCAGCAACCCCUAAACGUACUGUCUUAUUGAGCCAUUUGGUUGGUCAUGAUGCCAUCAUCUUCCCUCUGGUCACUUUAGUACCUCUAUCUGUUUGGUUUCGCUGAAUAUUGGUGAAAUCUAAGUUAUGUAAUGUCCUUCCAAUGCGUUUUUAGUACUCAAUACAAGCUGAUCAGAGCUGUUCAUCCACUAUUUGCAGACAUAUCUUUACCAGAUUCUCCGUGGAAUUGCGUAUUGCCACUCUCACAGGGUUCUCCAUCGUGAUCUAAAGCCACAGAAUUUGUUGAUUGAUCGCCGCACAAACUCACUAAAGCUUGCAGAUUUUGGACUGGCCAGAGCAUUCGGUAUCCCUGUCAGGACAUUUACUCAUGAGGUACCAAAGAGCUUAAUUCCUUGUUCAUAAGUUUCCGUUAUGAAAUCUUUUGGCUGGCUUCAUUCCUUAAGAGUAUAGUGUAUACUCGAGUAUUAUACCACUUAUGUAUCUGAUAAAUGUGAUGAAAGCACUAAGACAUUCACACGGUUGAACUAUGCUAGAUUCAAGAUACUAUAAAAUAUUUCAAUGCUACAUUCAGAUUUCAGAUCUCUUCGUGGACAUUCACACAAUUUUUGCAUAUUGUUCCUUUUAGGUGGUUACUCUCUGGUACCGAGCACCAGAGAUACUCCUAGGAUCUCAUCAUUACUCUACACCUGUUGAUAUUUGGUCUGUGGGAUGCAUAUUUGCUGAGAUGAUCAGCCAAAAGCCCUUAUUUCCUGGAGACUCCGAGAUUGAUCAACUCUUCAAGAUUUUCAGGUUUCAUUACUAGCUUCCCCAGUCCAAUAUUCUUCUAUAUAUUACAAUUGGAAAGACUUCUCUGCAAUGAUAUCACGGGAUUCUGAAAACACUUUCAUCUUGAUAUCACAUUUUGGAGAAGUAGUAAAGAACACAGAGAUUAAAUUGUUUACUGAUUAUAAAUCUGUUACUGCCAUCUUUUUUUGUCUACUACUAGAAUCAUGGGAACUCCAUACGAGGAUACAUGGCGUGGGGUAACUUCGCUGCCGGAUUAUAAAUCUGCUUUCCCUAAAUGGAAACCAACGGUAUUUCAAAUUUCUUCAUUUGCUUGUACAUCUUGUCUUCAGUAGUCAAGAGUUCACAACAUAAUAUAAUUUUUGCCCUUGUUUUUUUUUUCUUAUAUCACAGGACCUAGAAAGUUUUGUCCCCAAUCUAGAUCCCGAUGGAGUAGAUCUCCUUUCUGUAAGUUCACUGAGCUUAUAUACAUAUAUGUACCUGGAUGCUUGAUUUUAAUGGAUCUGGUCUCAUGUUACCUCUACUGAACCUUUAAACAUUUGAGGUCAUCAAUAUUUUCAUUUGGUCUUUAGGACUAGAAACCAACCUUGGUGUGGUUAAAACCAUCGUCCAGUGAGCCUUCAUAGUUUCUAAACCCAUAAGUGGUCAUCAAAAUCACAUCAAGCCAAAACCAAACCGGUCUGAAACAUGAACAACCUUCAAUAACCGGGAUUCUUGAAAGUCCUAGACUAAACCAAACUUGUGGAUAUCUAAGAUUUUGAUGCUCCUUUGCAACGAAAGAUGAUAAUAUAUGUCUCUGUUUGAUUUGUUACAGAAAAUGCUGUUAAUGGAUCCGACCAAAAGAAUCAACGCAAGAGCCGCCCUGGAGCAUGAAUACUUCAAGGAUCUUGGCGUCAUGCCUUAGAAAGGCAUAAAACCAGUAAUCUCCUUCAUUUUAUAUAUAAUUAUCUUUCAAUCUUAAGAAAAUGAAGAACAACAAUAUUAAUGGGUUUUGUUUAUUCUUUUUUUAUGAGUUCAUUUCCUACCUAGUACGAAAAAAAAAAGAAGAAGAUUUCGAGUGUGUUUUUUUUUACUUCUAAGUUUUUGAGAUCAGUUUCUUGUAUCUUCUUUUACCCAGAAUAUAAUAUUCCCCUAUAUGAAAUAUGGUUUUUGUUUGCAAAGUGACCAUAUUAUGCAACUUCUUUUCUGUAUAAUAGCAGUGAUUAUUAUCUAUCGAUUUUAUUUUAUAUUUGGAUUCAUGAAUUUGAUUAUUGGCGUGACAUGGAUUAAGUUUACAAGAGUUGCCUUCUUGAAUGACUUGUCAGCUGUUCGAGUGAGCCUUGAUAUAGUGAUCUUUUGAAAUAUAUCCCAAAAAACAUCACUGUGAAUUUAAAUACCAUUUAUGAAUCCAAUGUUUGUUUAUGCUACUAUAUACAUUCAUAUACAGUAUAUAUAAGAUUGAUAAGUUUUUUGUUUGUUUUUCCAAUCAAAUAAUAAUUUUGAUAAAAUAUACCUUUUCUAGGGAGUUUUUAUACUUCCCAGAACUUAACAUCAAAUAUACAAGACUUAAUCUGAUAGCUUGCUUGACUAGGAGGAUUUUAGACUUUUAGUAGAUGGUUUUCAGUUUUCAUUUUUUUCACUACUUCAUUUCAUUAGUACUUAUUUACGAGUUACGACGUCAUUUUUAUUCCCUAUAUUUUUAAAGGAUACACUGGUUUUAUGUUUUAAUGAGAGAAGAGGGUCCAAGUAACCAAUCAUUAAUGAGAGACCAAAGUUGACGAGAAAAAGCCGACAAAUAAAUUGACGAGAAGAACAAUUCAACACGUAUUGGAUAGUUUAUAUUACACAUUUUACAGUUGGUAUAAAUUCGAAUUUUAUCAAAUGUGAAUUAUCUAAUCUAAACUAAAUGAAGGUAGACAGAUCUUUACCAGGUGAUGACCAUCUAAAUGUUGACAUAAUAAUCAGCAGCAGUGGUUUCAAUCUAUUCACAAAGCAACUUUUCGGAAUAAGACGUAAAAAAACAUUAAACGACAAUUAAUUUAAACGGAGGGAGUAUAUCAUUAUUUAGCACGCUAAUAAUGAUAUAUUCAUUAACAGUAAUUUCCUACUAAUUAAAUAUAUAAAUUUAUAUUUAAAAGAAUAGCAUAGUCAAAAUACUUAAAAAAAAUCAAAUUCAAGAGAAAUAAAUAGCACAUUAAUUGAUAAAAAAAAUAGCACAUUAAUGAUAAAAUCAGCAUAAUUUUAUUAAAUCAAAUUCAACAGCAAUAUGUCACCCAAAAAAAACUAUAUACUUAUUAAUUUCAAUUAGUUUCAUUGUCAUUUACCUAAUUAAUUUAUAUAUAGAAAAUUAUAAACAGGAAAUAACUUAAAGGCGUGUGCAAUGUCAAGACUGAUUCCUCAAAAAGUCCCAAGAAUAUUACUGAAUCUAUUACACAUCAAAUUAUUUGGUGACAGAAAGAAAAAAAAUCAUAAAUCAAUUACCAUAAACUCUAUUAAAAAUUGAUAUCUUGAAAUUAGUUGACUCGUAAAAAGGGAAAGGUGGAUUAUUAAGAGAGGCCAAGUAGCCGGAGAAAAAAAACAUAAUCCUCUUCUCUGUCCCCCCAAGUCAAUAAUUCCUUUUUUGAUUUUUCCUUUUUUUAUUUUCUUAACCAAAUUUAUUGCUUUGAAGACUUUCUUUGUUGUGUAGCCAAAAAAAAAAAACGCGAUUUUUCUGGUUUCUUCCGAUGUUAGAUUUGCAGCCGUCAGAUCGGCGUCAUGGAGCUCCGAGUAGUAGCGGCGGUGGUAGUGGUGGUGAUGAGCUGAUCAGAACUUAUAAAGGCUGGAAAGGAAAUAACGUGAGCUUCUUCUUCUUCUUCUUCUUUAUCUCUUAUGAUUGAUUUUGUUUUUCUGGGUCAGAUUUAAUGUCUUUGAGUAAGAUCUGAAACGAAAAACCUCAGAUUUUUUGGUGGAAUUACUCAGUAGUUGUGGAAUAAUCAUUAUCUUUUUUUUUUUCUGGGUUUGGUCAUUUUUCCUGAAGUUUAUAAGAGUAAUAAGUUUGACUUGUAUACCCUAAUUUUUAGAUGUAUGAAGCUUUUUUUUUUUGGUUGUGCUCAUUUGGAAUUUGACUUGCUCAUCGUUAAAACUAGUUUCCAUUUUGCUCUCAUGUAAUGAUUCAUCAAGAUUUGUUCUUUUCUUGAAAGAAUUAGAGCCAAACAACUAACUUACAAGAAAUCAUUAGAGUGUCUCUAUAUAGCACCAGACCAUGUUGUUUUACCUGGUUUCGUCUCAUAGUUAGUUCCGUGAGUCUUCGUCUAGAUGUUCUAAAGUUAUUAGGAUAACGUGUCAAAGAUGUUGGUCUUUUACAAAGUUUUUUUAUGUUUAUCAGAAGUUUGAGUAAAGGUUUGCCUUAGAUGUGCGAUCACAUAGUUACAAGAGUUUUUAUUGUCUUUAAGUUGUUAAUUCAACUGUUUUGGUUAUGUAUGUAACUAAAUUUGUGACAUUGUCAAUUUUUUACUGAUCUUUGAUUUGUUCUUUUUUUCUCCAGGUGUUCUUUCUUGGAGGAAGGCUCGUGUUUGGACCCGAUGCUCGAUCUAUUCUGAUCACUAUCUUCUUGAUUACAGCUCCUGUCAUUGUAUUCUGUAUUUUUGUUGGCAGAAAAUUUAUUGAUGAUUUUCCUCACCAUAGAGGAGUAUCAAUAUUAGCUGUUGCUGUUGGUCUGAUUUUAUUAGUGAGUUCUUCUUUCUCAUGAAUGUUUUUUCCCUCAUUCUGAUUCCGAUUCCACUCCUGCAUUUACAUAUCUCUGCUGCAACCUUUUACUCUUGGCUUCUUGAUAAUAAAGUUUAGUAUUUGUUUGUCCACAGGAUCUAAUAUUUCUUCUUCUAACUUCCGCGAGAGACCCAGGAAUAAUACCACGUAAUCUAUAUCCUCCUGAACCAGAAGGUAAUGAAGGCAAUGGAGAACCGCGUCUUGCUCAUACUCCUCAGAGUCGGUUGCCUCGGACAAAGGAUAUGAUUGUAAAUGGAAUUACUGUGAAGAUCAAAUACUGUGACACAUGCAUGCUUUACAGACCACCCCGUGCUUCUCAUUGUUCGAUUUGCAACAACUGCGUUGAGAAGUUUGAUCACCACUGUCCUUGGCUUGGUCAGUGCAUUGGAUUGGUAAUGGAUAUUAUUUUGCCUCAUCAAAAAUCUUGCUUGUACCCUCUUUUUUCAUCUCUCAAAACGUGUAUCAUCCAUAACCGGUGGAUUUCUAAAUUUAGAAAUUAGAACUAUCUUUGCAGACAAUAACCGGUGGGUUAAAUGAGAUGUCUUUAAAUAAAUUUAUAAUUGUCAAGAGGAUAAUUGCAUAUAUCUAGACGAUUCAAGAGGAACUAACAGUAAUUUGAUGUUUUUGAUUGCAGAGAAACUAUAGGUUCUACUUCAUGUUUGUGUUGUGCUCAACUCUUCUCUGCAUUUAUGUCCAUGUGUUCUGCUGGAUCUACGUCAAGCGUAUAAUGGAUAGUGAAAACAUAAACAUCUGGAAAUCGUUUAUCAAGACUCCUGCUUCCAUCGCACUAAUAAUCUACACUUUCAUUUGCGUCUGGUUUGUUGGUGGGCUUACCUGUUUCCACUUGUACCUAAUGAGUACCAAUCAGGUAAAAUCAUUACUCUCUUAAAGCUCCUUGAAACAGUUGGAUAAUUUAGCUGCUUGUUAACAUUAGUUCUCUGUUGUUUAAUAUGUUGUGAUUUUGCAGUCAACUUACGAAAACUUUAGGUAUCGGUAUGAUAGACAUGAGAACCCCUUCAACAAAGGAAUAGUGGGGAACUUUAUGGAAGUAUUCUGCACAAACGUUGCCAUAUCUCAGAACAGUUUCAGAGCAAAGGUUUCAAAGGAGCCUGCAAUACCACCAAGGACAGUAAACGGAGGGAUGUCAAGCCCUAGCUUACAGAAAGUUUCCCACGACAUAGAGAUGGGAAGAAAACCAGUGUGGCACGAGACAGUAGAAGAAGAGCUCGGUGACAUGGAAAAGGACAUGGAAGCAGGGGUUGCAUCACGGGAUUUGAGCAGAAUGCUUCCUCCAGAAGAAUCUGAAGGACGCGGGAUAAUGCAUUCAAGAGAGUCAAGCAGGGGACGUGGGAUUAUGCAUUCGAGAGAGUCAAGCAGGGGAAGAAGAGGAGGGAGCUGGGAAUUGUCAAGCCGUGUUAACGAAGAUUUAAGAACCAGAGAUGAAUCUGUGUCAAGAGUCGGUGAAGACAGCUCAGAGUCUUCAGACAAUGAUGCUUCCAGAGAUUUACAUGUUGAGAUAUAUGAUGUAGUAACAAGUAGAGGAAGAACCGGAACUGGUAUAGGGCGGUUAUAGUCUCCGGUUUUAAGCCAAUUACACUAAGAAAAAAAGGUUACUGAAAAAGGUAAGGGAACUCAAGAUUGUGAUUCAGGUUUGUUUGUUUAUCUACCACAUUGUAACGUGUUUGUGUAAAGUAUUUGUUCAAAGGAUAAAAGCUUUUUAAAUUGCUGGAAAAUGAAACAACCGAAAUAUUUCAUUUUUAAAUAGGGAUGUUGUGGUAGGUUAAAAAGCCAAUCCUAGCAGGAACCCGAAUUGAGACCGUUCACAAGAAGCCUGAAUUUGAAAAACCCGAUGAGUUCCGAGCUAAAUCUUUGGAUUUAUAUGUAUUAGUGUAUGAUACUCAUUCAUAUACACCUAAAUCUUGUUAUAUAUUCAUCUAAAUUCAGUUUGUAUUUUAUGAAUGAUAUUAUUUUGAUGUAGAUUACCUAAAAUUUGCCAACAAUUAAGGGUUUUAAGCUAUUGAACGAAUUGGGUUAAUUUGACUCUGUUACAUAUUGGUUAAAGUUGUUAACUAGCCAUAAUAUGUAUCUUUGCAAAUGUUAAUAAAAGGAAACACCAAAAGCCAAACACAAACUGAUCAAAGUUAUCUUCCUUAGUCCAAAAUAUCACCGUUAUUCAAACUUCAAAGUACUUAAAAUUUAAGACAUAAACAUAAAGACAUAAGACUUCUUCACUCUUCACAUACUCAGCAAUAGAUAAUAACUGGAUGAACCUACAACAUACAAAAAUUUAAAAUGAAAGUCAGAUUUGAGUCAUUCACAUCUAAACAAAUCUCAGUCUAGUUUUCAAAAUGUCUUACCUGAUAUGUGCUAGAAUCCUCAAUUCCAACAUCAUCAUCACCGGACUUCAAAAUAAGUUCUAUGUAAUUGCUGCAAACACCAAAUGCAAAACUUUAUUUCUGAAAAUAAUAAUACCUGAGAGACCAAACUUUAUUGCACUAACAGAGUAAUAUUUUCAAGUACUAAAGAUAAUCAUUUUACUAUUUGUGCAAAGAUAAAAGAACAGAGUGUCAAUCACAGAGAGGCAGAAGAAACAUACUUGAUCAAAACCAAACUCCAAGAAAUGUUGCAGGUUUUGUCGUGAGUAGAGAGAAAAAUAGAUGCAUAAAAGAGAUUAGCCAUAGAGAAUACUUGUGGUAGAAGAAGAAAUCUGCAACAAACAAGAAAAACUAUUCUUACAUUAACAGAAGCCGACUAAAUUAACAGAGGACAAAUACCUAAAUAUAGAACCAUAUUGACAUACCUUAGGUUACUUGAGGGAGAAUUCAUCUGAGAUAAGUUUCUCAUCUUCUUCAUAAACCUGAAGGUUCUUGGACUUCAUAAGAAACUCUAAAGCCUCUUCAUCAAACUCCACCAAGUAAGCCAUCUUCACAAGCUCUGAUAACCGUCCGAUCAGAUCCUCUCUCUCCCACAUCACACCCUUAGCAAUCACCUCAGCAAAACACGUGGCAUACUCCAAAAGCUUUCUUUUCCCACAAGGUUUCUCCAUCUUCUCUGCAUAAACCACUCCUUUUUCUCUCUCCCAUCUUAUCAUCCUCUUAGCUUUUGCAAUCAGUUUCUCUCCCUUUGACGGUAGAUUCAGAGUAUACUCUGUUGUGAUUGUCUCCGAUGUUUCUAUAACGUCGAGGUCAACAAGGCUAUGUAUGAUUCUUAAACGUUCAGCAGCUUCUACAUUGAGAGACGGAUCAGAGAGGAACCCGAGAAUGAGCUUCACUAGCCCCGGUCCGAUCAGGCUAUUCUUUGGAUCGACGACCUCUUGCUGCUCGACUUUGACUCCGGUUAGGUCAGCUUCUGCGAUCUCAAUGCAUUUGGAGACCUCUUUGACACCGAUUCUUCGAUAAAGCUCAAUAAGCCUGGUUCGGGACAAUGUAGGAAUGCUUGGAGAUGGAUACCAGACGAAAACAUGAGAAUCAAUGAACAUGUCUUUCAAGAGCAAGUCAUCAGCGAUGAAAACGUCGCUGAUGUUAGACAACAUGACUCCUUCAUUGUUGUUGCAAUCUGGUGCUUUUACGGGCAAACACGAAAAGGACUCAGAAAGGAGCUUCUCUGCUUUCAUAGUGUCACUGUGUCGGACAACGAAGCUCCAGAACGCACAACACUCAUCAUUAGACAAUCUGUUCUUCGUUUUCUCCCAAUCUUUCCACAACUCACAGUAAUCUUCAAUAGACGGGUUGGUUCUCACGCCAAAUGCAAAUGAGAAGAAGCCAAGAAGGUCAUGAUCCUUACCACUCCCAUAGUAAUUUUGAAGAACGUUUAACUUUGAUCCAAAGAGCUUAUCUUUGUCAAAGAGCACGCAACUAGAAACAUCAGCCCAUUUCUCAUCACUUGGUAUCCAAAUUCGACCUGAAGAUGCACCUCUCUCAGGUUUCCAUUCAGCUUCACUGAGAAAUCUAUAAACCCGGGAAAUAGCAUCAGUUUCUGAAAGUUUAUAGACGUUGCUUGCAAGCAACUGGCAAGCUUUGUCUGUAUCAUGACCAACUCCUAUCGCAAUAAGCUCUUCUCUAAACGAUUUAAUCUCUGAACCAUAAAACUCUUCGUCGAUGAACGGACCAUCACACGGCUCUAACUUCCAGCUGCUAUCAAACAAGAGACACUCCUCGGGACAGCGGUAACCAGCAUGAGUCUUCAACCAUUUCACAGAAACCUUAUCACGAAACUCUGUAGGAAGUUGCUGAAAUCUGUCUUCAAGCAAGAACGUGAUGCACUUCAAAAGAGACAGGGCGCUUGAAGGAGCGAUGCGAGAUGGAUCAGGGAGACUUAGGGAGCUAAUCACAUGGCUCAUGCCAUUCCUCAGCUCAACUGUAACUCCCAAGCUCUCGAGCUCUUUUUUGAAUUCAUGUAUGCUCUUACCAUACCAGUUUGGACCAUCAUCGAUAAAGGGAAGAUUCGCUAUGAGGCGGAGGGGUUCCCAGUCUGAAUCAAAGAGAAUGCAGUCCUUUGGUGCACGGAAAUCGCCAAGUUUGGUAUGCAGCCAUUGAAACUCUUUGAAGCUUUUCGUAAGUUCAUCAGGAAAUCUGUAACUACUUCCCAUCAGCUUCCUGUAGCAAGAUAAAAGAGACAAUGCGGUACAUCGGGUUAGCCCAGAGGAGGUGGCUUUCUGUUUGAAUGUGCUGACAAACACUUUCACAGCUUCUUCAAGCUGAAGCUUAACACCAAUCUGCUUCAGUUCUUCUUUGUAGGAAAAUAUUCUGCUUCCAUAGAAAUCAUCAUUGAUCACAGGAAAGCAAUCAAAAACAGAAAGAAGACAACUCCACUCUGGAUCAGGUAUGAAACAUUCAGCAGGAGAUUUAUAGCCAUUCUUCUUUGUCUUGAAGCAUUGAUAAGAAUUCCUCAGGGCAUUGAUCAGCCUAUGCGGACUCAGUUGACGCAUGCAGUCAAGUACUAGGAACAUUGCAUCGGGUGUCAAGUAAGUCAGCUUUGCAGUAUUCAAAUGAGAAACGAUGAGGCUGUGGUUAUUAGGAAACUUAACUACAACGCCAAGCAACUCAAGUUCUUCCUUAUAACCAUUGAGGCUAACUUCACCAUAGAAAUCUUUGUCAAUGAUUGGAAUAUCGCUGAUCAACAACGCAGCUUUCCAGUCUUGGCUGAACAAAACAGCGCCAUCUGGAGAUUUGUAACCAGAACUAGUCUUCAGCCAAGGACCAUCUUUGACUGCAGUGAUAAAAUCAGCUGGUGGGAGGCGCUUCUCUCUUAAGUACCUAAUGAAUUUCAGUAUCGAGAACACGUUUGCGCUUGAAAGUGUUGAAGUCUCAGCUAAACUCAUAAGAUGGUUGCCAACAAAUGUACAUGCUUCACUAAACUCAAACAUAACACCAGCAGUUUUCAACUCUUCUUUGUAGCUGUCAAUCUCUUUCCCAUAGUAGCUUCGAUCAACCAGCGGAAUAUCAACAAGAAUUGAUCCGUUCUGCAGAAUACUUCCCCAUGAUGAAGUAUGAUAAAACGACUGAGAAGGCGGCCGAUAAUCAGAAAUCCCAUUCAUUGUUGUUCUCAACCAACUGCCUCCUCUAACAGAAUGCAAAAAGUUGGAACGAAGAGAAUAUCUAUGACAUUUAAUCCAAUCCAACAGCAAAAAAACAUUCUCCUUUUUAAGAGCCCCGGACAACGCAGGUAUAGCAGCAUUUGGAGGUUCUAUGUCAGGUAUAUCUCCAGCCUUAACAUAAGAUUUCAAGAACACGAGAAGGUCUUUCUUGUUAGACCGAAGACCAGCAAACCUGUUGGACGACAAAUACUCUUCUGAAAGUUCAAUAUAGCCACUAUGUCUCCACGGGUUAGAACCAACUAAGCUAACCCAUUUACCUGCACUAGCUGGAACAAGAACCCCACUCCUGCUUGUGUUGACAUUACUAUAGUUGUCCACAAGCGGCAUGUCUUUGCAGCAUUUACCAGCUUCUUCUUCUGAUAAAACCUCUUUUGAGAUAGAGUGAUGCAAAAAGUGUGCAUAUGCAACUACAAGCCUCUUAUCUCCAUUAAGAUUCUCCCCGAGACGUUUUGCAUAGUCAGAGACACUAAGAUUGGUGACUUUAAGGUUCUCUUUCAACCAAUUGUGUAUUGUCUCUUUCUUGGAGCACGCUUUCAACGCUGUCCGGGUUGUUGGUGGCAUGAAAACAAACUUAGACAUGCAUCUGAACUCAUCACUCCAAUCUAGUAGCCAUGCCUGGUUCUUCUCAGUGGACAAGCAUAGUGUCCGAGGACUGAAAUCACCCAAACUGCUAAGAGAACUCACACCCUUCUGGACAACAUACUUGAUAAGAGGAACUUUCCCCAUAUUAGUACUCUGAAACCUAGACUGCCAAUUCUCAGCGAUGAAGAGUAGAACCUCCAUAUACGUACCUUCUGACACACUUGCCACGAGAUAACAGCCCUGCAUGCAUUUUACAUACCACUCGUUGCUGACUUGCUUUAGACCCAAGAAGUUCAGAACGUUGUCAUAUUCGGUUCUGUCAAACGCGGAAUUCAAAAUGUAGAUCCCAUGAGAUGAUAUAUUCUGCAAGCUUGCACCUUCACUUCUUGCUUUCUCCAAGAUGUCCCAAAAAGUAGGUAUGAGACGACCAACUUCACACGGCUUGUGGAAGAACUUCUGUCCUAAAUGAGAUAUGCUUGGCACAAUUUCCUCUGCACAAACCCUUGCCUUGAUAGAUUCUCGCACCACAUUCAGCUUUGCAUAAUUAGAUUCUUUUACAGGCAAGAACCUAAAAGCAGGGAGGACGCUAGACACCGGAGCAUCAGUCUUUUUGACCAAGGUCGUGAAUGCAUUCAAAAAUGCUAUAGGGACACAGCUGAGAAUCCCUUGGUUCCAUAUAUCAUCCAAUAGAAUAGUCUCCCUGGACGAGGCAAGGAUAAAAUCUGCCUGAAUUAUGAAGGGAAAGUUUGUUACCAUUUCUGUGGGAAGAAAUGCAUAGAUACCAGGAGAGCUAUUUCCUCGGCCAAGACGCUCUCCAAAUGGAAAUGCCAAAGUGAUGACCCAAUCAUCGACUUCACUUCUCCUGUCCACACGGUUCUCAUGUUUCACAGGAAACUUUUGCUUCCACAUGUAGUAGCUGCAUUCUUGUUCAGAGUUUUUCCCUUUCUCAGAAGCUGAGAGAUGUAUUGUGUAAGACUCAGCAUCAAUGCUCUUCCUCGUCACAAAAUUAGUCUCACUAACAAUCCCGAUUGAGUUCACUGUGCUGAGCUUUGCAUCUAGGCAAUGUUCUCUGAUAGAAAGACGCUUGAUCUUUGAGAGAAACAACAGAACCUCAGGAUGAACAUUGGAAAGCUGUUCUUUCACCGGCUUUACUUUGUCAUACUUCAAAGGCAAGAUAAUGGUCGUGGUCGGAAGAGCAGAACCCGAACCGUACAUCCUUUGAAUAUCAACAAGAGAAGGAUGUUGCUCAACCCACUCAGGAACAAUGUAGCCAAGGCUGCAGUGGCUGCAAGGUGCCUCAUUGAAGCGAAUCUGAUAGCCAUUGCUGAAAAUAUAGGGCUGUGAGGUAAUCAAGAACACACUCUUGAAACCGAUACCUGCCAAGAUUGAAACAGAAUAAACAUGUAAGAACAACAAGGGUCUUUGAAAUUUGAGUUUGUCUAGAGGUCAUAUAGUAUAAGGCAAAAGACAUACCUUUCUCUCCAAUAUAACCGCGUUUUCGAUUGCCUUUCUUGGUAGACCUCCCAACACUGCAAAUGGAGUCAAUGUUUUUCUCAGAGAAACCUUUCUCAUUGUUGAAAAUAAGGAGAGUGGCUGGAGCUCCGGUGGCCGUGAUAUCGUCAGAUGUUAUCACAAACUCAAGAGAUGGAUCCACACCUUCCGGAUACUCGUUAUCUUCAGCAUUCUGAAAACCAAAGGAAAAAAUAAAUACCUAGCAUUAGCAAAAACUGCAGGAAGAAGCCAAUUUCUUGCUCAAAAGGUUUCCUAACUAAUGGUGAUCUCUGUAAUAUAUUUGAAAAACUAAACAUCGCAGGCUAAGCAAAAAAACCAUAAAACAUGUGUUCUGUAUCUAUCACAGAGGAAAAUAGUCCGGGAAAAAGUAGGUUCCAGAUUUCCUCGGGAACAGAACAGAGCACAAAACCCUAGAGAAAACAGAGCAAAAUGGGAAACAAAAUCUCACAAAAAAAAACACACAGAAACAGAGAAAUAUAAGAGAUAGAGGCGUGAGAGAGUAAACGUACUUGGAUAAGCUCCAUGAGGAAGUGAACAUCCUUAGCAUAGAGCUCAGCGGAGAGAUUCUUCACAGCUUGAUGAAGAUCCUCCGUCAACGGAUUUUCAGCUCCGCCGAUCGAAAACUUAGUCCGACGAAUUCGUUCAACGUGUUGCUUAGCCGAUUCCGCCAUUGUUUCUCUUACUGGUUUGGUUUUGGUUUCUCUCUGCAAAAUGUGAAACGACAGACAGAGAGUGAGGAAUUUAAAGAGAAGAAGGAACCUUCGUGGGGAAGGUAAAACUUGGGAAUUAAGUAUAACGAUGAUGUGACACUCUUCUUUUGUACGGGAAAAACCAAAAGACUAUAAUUUUAUUGGCUAACCAAAAGACAAAUUGAUGUGACACUCUUCUUUUGUACGGGAAAAACCAAAAGACUAUAAUUUUAUUGGCUAACCAAAAGACAAAUCUUGUACUGUGUUCUUAAUUUCCAAGGAAAAAGUUAUGUAGCUUCGUAAAUCUAAGUCUCUUUUAAUUCUUUCAUCUUCAACACGUUUAUUAUUGAGAUAACUCCUAUAAUUAGAUUUAGAUAAUGAAGUAAUCUACCCUAGUCUUUAUCUAAUAUCUUUAUCUAGUUACGAUUCUCUACUUGUAUAAAAUACCAAUCUUCAUGAAUUAUACACAAGAUUUUCCACAAACUAUUUCAUUUCAUUGAUUAAUAACGAGAAAGUAAAAUGUAAUCGACAUCUCUACAAUAAUUAUUUGAGAAGUAGAAACGCACCAUAUUGAAAGUUAGGGCAUUGGAGGCCUGUGGUUAAAAGUUGGAAUGAUUUGUCCUAAACACCCUUAAUGAAUUGUUCUUCUCGAAAUUUCUUCUUCUUCGUAAUUAGGGGUAUAUAAGUCUAAUCGUGUGUUGAUCUCUAUACUAAUGUCCUAAACACCCUCGAUUUCGAAAUUUUUUGUUCUUAAUUGUUAGGGGUGUAUAAGUCUAAUCGUGUUUUGAGAUGAUUAGUCUUAAUUACCCUUAAUUUUUUUUUUAAUAUAGUGUAAUCGUUGGGGAUACGAAUGUCAUAAUGUCUCGACUUUAAGGAUUAUGGAAUCUUAGCUUAAAUUUAUUUGUUAAUUUUUUGGAUAAUUCUAUAUCUUAGUAGUUAAUAUUCGUUUUUGUUAGUUUUUUGAUUUAGUUUCUAAUUAAAAAAGUUAAAUUUAGCUUUAAUGAAUUUGUAUAUUAUAUUGCGAAUAUUUGUUUCGAGAAUAUUUCUAUUUUUUAAAAGUAAAAUUUUGUAGAUAAUUAUGAUGGUAAACCCUAGAUUUUCAACUAUAAAUAUAGAGUCUUGGUCAUAACAUUAGCAUUCACAUUCGUUACCCUAGGUUUUUAGUUUUUGUACUAUAUCUCACGCUUGCUAAUGAUUUCGUGAUUAAUUAUUUUGUAAUUUGUUUUAGGUUUACUGGGCAUGGGAGUUUUGAUCCUGAAUCAUGGGAGUUCGUGAUGUGUGUGAGAAGAAAUCCACCACGUAUGGGUGAUAGAAAUACCGAAAUUCAAUGAAUGAGGAGAUAAGUUUUUUUUUCCAAGUAUAAUUAGUAGUCAUGCUCAUGUUUUGAUCUCUGCUUUUUAUGUUUUUAUAUUUUAUUUUAUUUUGGAUUCAAAGUAAUAACGUGUUUGAUGAGGUGCUUCGUAGAUGGGACAAUCAAUUGUUUAAAAAUCGGCAUAUAUUAAACUCUUCUCGGCGGACAAACAUAAAGAAACCCUAAUUUUUUUUGUUUUAUAUCGAUUAACUUCCUCUCUUUCAAUUAGGUUUCCUUGACUCUUAGCAAUCCAUCGACGAUGUAUCGUCACUGGUGACACCAACUCCGUGUCAGUUUGUGACCUCCCAUGCGAUGGUUAAGGUACGCUAUUUAAUCAAUUCUAAUCUAUUGUUUUUGUUCGAUAUUAUUUUGAUAAAUCUUUUGCAAUAUCUAAAUUUCAACUAAGAUGCACGUGAAACAGAGUAAGUUAUUCUAUGCGGCUUUGAUAUUUGCACAACCGAACAAUUCGUGUUUCAAAGUUUUUUUUCCUGUGAAUUACAAGUUCUUUCUUCUUUUUUUUUUUUUGGUUUUAAUUGAUUUUGUUUAAGGGGGUUUGAUUCGUAUUUUUUUUUUUUGUUUUUGUAGUGCUUUGCAUAAUUUGAUAAGCAUGAAAUUGUUGCGAUCAGUUGUGGUUUAUUGCUUGUGUUUUUCUGUUUUGUUUGAUUUCUUUCUUAUUUUGUUUUUCUUUCGAACCCAAGAGAGAUCAUAGGCAGACACUCAAUUAUUAGUGUUUUGUUAGAAUCUUUCUUUGGCACAUUGUCCCGUCGAGUUUGGACCCAUGGCUUAUGGGAAAUUUUGACUUGAGACUGAAAACCGAUCCUUUAUCCACGGCUUAUUAUUUCGACAUAUGUACUUGGGAUUGGUUUCAGUUUACUGGUCAAAGAUCAAGUUACCCAUUGCUUAAAACAUCAUCGGUCUUUAGACAGAGACCGAGAUUCGGAAAAACCAAUUCUUUAGACAAAAGAUUGGAUUGGGUUAUGUUUGGUGGAAGGAAAAUGGUACCCACGGCUUCUAACAUUAGUCUUUAGACUGAGGCUGAUUCGAACAUUGAUCCUUCAUGGUACCCACGGCUUGAAAAUCUCUAGACAUGGAUCAUGUUCGUUUUGUUCUUUCAGUCUUUAGACAACGAAACAGUACCCACGGCUUAAACAUCACCAGUCUUUAGACCAGAGACUGAGAUUGGCUUAUGUUUGGUAGAAGGAAAAUGGUAUCCACGGCUCAAAACAUUAGUCCCCACGACUUGAAAAUCUCUAGACAUUGAUCAUGUUCGGUUUGGUUUUUCAGUUUUUAGACAAAGAAACAGUUACCCACGGCUUUAAACACCAUAAGUCUUUAGACAAAGACUUGAGAUUCGGAAAAAAAACAAUCCUUAAGAGAAAAGAUUGGAUUGGCUUAUGUUUUGGUGGAAGGAAAAUGGUACCCACGGCUUAAAACAUCAUAUGUCUUUAGAUAGAGACUUGAGAUUCGAAAAAACCAAUCCUUAAGACAAAAGAUCGGAUUGGCUUAUGUUUUGGUGGAAGGAAAAUGGUACCCACGGCUUAAAACAUCAUAUGUCUUUAGAUAGAGACUUGAGAUUCGAAAAAACCAAUCCUUAAGACAAAAGAUCGGAUUGGGUCAUGUUUGGUUGAAGGAUAAUGGUACCCAUGACUUUAAACGUUGUCUUUAGACUGAGAGUGAUUCGAACAUUGAUCCUUCUUGGUACCCACGGCUUGGAAAUCUCUAGACAUGGAUCAUGUUCGAUGUGUUGUUUCAGUCUUUAGACAAAAAUAACCCACAGAUUAAACAUUACCAGUCUUUAGACAGAGACUUGAGAUUCAGAAAACCAAUCAUUUACUCACGGCAAAGACAUUAGCAAAGAAACAGAUAAUUUUGGAUUGGGCUUCGUAUAGAUAAUUUUGUGGUGUACUUAUUUAUAUGAGAUAUUUGAUAUAUUAUUGCUAGGUUUACAUCGAUCCAAUAUAAACAUGUAGUUUCUUGUAUAUUAAUAUCUCUUAUUUUAUGAGUUUUUUUUUGGUUAGAUGACUACAAGAAGGUAGUCUCUAAUCUAAUUAUAUAUAUUUGUAUUUUAUUAAAAAUUAUUUAUAUGCCUUCCUUUUUGGCUGUUAGAAACCCUAACAUUAAUUUGGUUUCUAAAACACAUUGAAUAUCUUUUGAAGCUCGGGAAAAAUAGAGUUCUCUAAAAAACGAAAUCGAUGUCGAGAUUGCAGAGGUAUGUCUAUCUUGAUGAAAUUGUUAAAUAGAAAUUGGGCUCUUAAACAAUUCAAUCACCUUAAUUUUUUCUUACAAUCGUGAGAGGAGACUUUAGGGUUUGAUUGUUUUAGUUUUGAUUGGUGAAUUGAAAGAUGCAUCAAUCUCGACAUGUGGUUUCAAUGGUUCUUCCUUCAAUUCCGCCCACCAACAUCACUACCGAAUAUAUCCAUGGCUAGAAACGACGAAGAUGGAACCGAAUGAAUGAUUAUUGACUCAAGCACGAUCAUCAUUUAGCUCGAGGAGACUGCAUAUAAGGUAUUGAAGGAGGAGUUUACCAGUUGAUGACUAUGGGAAGUUCUAAUGGGAUGUCUAUUUUCGGAAAUGUUGAGCAGCAGAAUUUUAAUGUACUUCAUGAUACUAAGAAAGAAACAGUACUGAGUAUAGAGAGAGGGAGCAGGAAUCCAGUGGGCAGGAAGAUUCGUAGUGAUCGUUUUGCUUACCGUAAUGAUCCUUAUCGAGGAGAUUCACUUCUAAGUUUUAGUUUUCUCAUUUCUCUUCUUAAAGUCUCAAAUUUGAUAAAUUCUCAUCAAAAGGGUAUUUCAUAUAUACUAAGGAGUUCUUUAAUUGUGGAUUAGGCUAAACUAAUUUGCUUCUUUGUUGCUACAUUUAAUUCUCUCUUGCAGCCAAAGUAAUACGUGCAGCAAGCGACCUGGUCAUUUUGCUCGCAAUUGUCCUAAUGUCUCAAUCUGGCACAAUCAUGGCCUUCUUGGGUAAAACUAUUCAUAGUAUGCUUGCCUUUCUUUCCAAAUAAUCGUUAGGUCUACAUAUACGUAUCGCGCAUUUAUUUCUCAUUGGAUUGUUUAGCCAAGUAAUCUUUUGGUAUGGGUUCUACAAUGAUACCUUUUACCUCUGAUUCAUGUGAUGCUGGUUAUUUUGAUAUUGCGUCUCUUAACCCUAACAUGGGUGAGUGGUCUGUUUCGGUGAAGAUUUUGAAUUGUUGGUCUGUUUCGCGUGGCUCGGAUAGAGAGCUCAAUAUGAUUUUGGGUGACAAGCAUGUUAGUUUUUUAAUAACUUACCUUCUAUACAUGUUUUCGAUAUUAAAUUGAAUUGAUUUUUUCUUUAACAUUUAAUUUGCAGUUCACCCAAAUUCAAGCCGUUGUUCGUGAUGAAUUAAUUGAUAAUUAUUUUUCAAGAUUGAUAGUCGAUGAGUGGGUGAGCAUUAAAAAUUUUGAUGUAUCACGGGUUAACAGCAUCUUGAGACCAGUACCGCAUAGAUUCAAGAUUGUGUUUCGUUUGGACACAUUAGUGCAAAGUAUUAAUAUGUGCUCCAGUAGAACCUAUUUCAAUCUAACUGAGUUUGUGAGUAUAUUGAGUGGUAUUGUUAACCCGAAUAUUUGCGUUGGUAAGCCUAAUUUAUGUAUUUAUUUGUGCUUUUGGAGUUUAUUUACGAUUCAUGUUCUGACUGUAUUAUUCAUGUGUGUGUUUCAUAGAUGUUGUUGGCAAAGUUGUCAACGUGAGAGAGUUGGUUUUUGUUCCUUCCGUGGAACAUUCUCACGGAGGAUAUUUUGAGUUGUACUUUGGUUUACGUGAUACUGAGUAAGUCACUAUUUUUUAAAGAUUUAAACCAGAAUAUAAAGUCUUACGACUUCUUCAAAUCUUAAAAUUAGGUGUAUCCAUCUAGAGUAUAGUUUGACAGGUGACCUUGCAGUCGAGUUCUAUGACUUAUGGAAGCGUCGUUCACGUAACACAGUGAUAUGUAUUAUCAGGUUUGUGAAAUUAGAGCUAUCACAGGAACGUAGGUGGAGAUGUACCAACGUUUCAGGAUGUACGAGGAUUAUGUUGAAUCCGAAUCUCAGUAUUACCGACGAAAUGCUUUGUUGGUAAGUAUUUUUUGUUUUUUCCCCGUUUACAAUCAAAACUCUAAAGUUGGCGACUGAACAUUUACUGUUUAUGGUGUUCUAAAUUGGAUGUCAGGAAUCCUGAAAACGACCAAGUACCUAUCAUCACACGCAAGGAGAAUGCCAUGGAGUGAUGAUGUUCGUUGAUUUCUUAUUUUCUUGCAAUUUUGUUUAGAAGAUGAUUUAUUAUUAUUUUCUUAGCAUUUAUAAUUUUAUUGAAUUUUUUAAUUUCAACAUUUACCAUAUUUUAUUACACUAAAACCUAAACAAUUCACCAUAUUUUCUUACACUAGCACCUAAACAAUCCCUUAUCUCACAUGAUUUAUUAAUUUGAUUAAUAAAAACGCCCACACACGCGUAAUUAAGUUGUAGUGACAUAUUAUAUUUUCCGUUGUGAUUAAUAUAUAUUCAUAAUUUCUAGGCAUGGAGUCGAUUAAUCGAACACGUGUUAUCGCGGCAUAUGAAAACAUGAUAUCUGAUGAAUUACGUGCGUUAUUGAAUUCACGACCUCCUAAGGAUGUUUGUUGUCGUGCGAGAGCGCGCCGUGUAGCAAUACUUAAAUCAAGACGGAUAAAAGCGAGGACAAGACCACCAGAAACCGGUACGAUAGCCUUUUAUAUUAAGUUUUUAUUCUCGAAAUUGUACGUGUGAUUAACAAAUAAAAAAAUGUUAUAUAUAAGGGUUGGUGUUGCCGAUUUACGAAGAUGAUUACGUGCAUUUCCUCGCAACCGAUUCGGAUUCUGAUCAUGGUGAUAGGGAGGACCAAACAGACGACGAUAAUGCAAUGGAUUAUGAUUUUGUUGAACAUCUCGAUAACGCCGAUGAGUGUAUUAUGGAACAGGAAGGGUUUGGAUCCAUACCGAUCAUAAAUGUGAAACCUGGAUUAACAGAAAACGGUACUUACUAUGGUUGUUUUUUUUAUAAUUUUUUAAAAAAUAUAAUUGAUAUUAUUGUGUACAUGAGUGCUUCUUGUGUCAGGUUAUUUUGAUGAUGGAGAUCCGUUUUAUACCUGUCAAAAUUGCGGUGCUUAUAUGUGGUUUGGCGAGCAUAUUAACAAACGUGGAGCUAAAAAUAGGCCUAUAUUUUCUACGUGUUGCAUGAAGGGUAAAGUGGAGCUGCCUAAACUAAAAAAUCCUCCACCGGUGCUUAUGUCGAUGUUGUAUGGCAAGGAUGAGAGAAGCAAAAAUUUCCGUGCUUUAAUUAGAGCAUACAAUAUGAUGUUCUCAUUCACGUCGCUUGGUGGUCAAAUUGAUAAUUCCGUGAACCAUGGGAAUGCACCGUAUGUGUUUCGCAUGCAGGGUCAAAAUUAUCAUCGCAUCGGUGAACUUUUGCCUGGCCCUUCCAAAAGUCCUGCUUUCUCGCAGCUCUAUAUUCAUGAUACCGUAAACGAAGUCUCGAAUAGGAUGGGUGUUAUGGGGUGAGUUGUUUAUUGUAAUAUAUUUUUUAUAUUAUGUCCACGAAUUAAUUUCCGUUUUUUGUUGUUUUUAAUUGUUUUAGCGAGAAAGGACCGGGUAAGCAAAUAAAGAAGAGUAUCGUUAAGACUUUGAAGGAUAUGUUAGAUGCUAACAACCCACACGUCAUCGCGUUUAGAUCAGCUAGAGAUAGAUUAGCACAAUGUGAAGAUACCAGCGGCUUUAAGUUGAUUUUGAAAAAUCAUCGAGAUAGUGACGGUAGAGUCCAAAAUAUACCUACGACUGACGAGGUUGCUGGGCUUAUCGUGGGAGAUAUAAAUCCUAAACCGCGUGAUGUAGUGCUUCAGGCUAAUUCUGGAGGGUUUCAGCGUAUAAGUGAGCUGCACCCAUCCUACCUCCCUCUACAGUAUCCUUUGCUUUUUCCUUACGGCGAGGAUGGAUUUAGGUUAGGUAUCGACAUUGGAUUCAUCGAUAAAGGCGGUCUAAAAAGAACAAAGGUGACUUCGAUUUGGUCAAUCUCUAUAAAUUUUGACUUCGAUUUUAUUUUGCGAGAAAAUAAGGAUAAAAUUGUACAAAUUUGAUAAAGACUUUAAAAUUUUUAAAUAAUGAUGUGAAUAUUUUUAUCUCGAAAUUGUUUAAUUAAGAAAGUUAAAAUUCGUAAAUAUUGAAGAUAAUGUCUUAUGAAUCAAGGAUAUAAUCCGUCAAGGUACUAAUAUUUAAAUAAUUAUAUUAUGAUUAUAAUUUUUCCACCAUGUAUUUUAUAAUUUGAAAUAUAUUUUUGUUUUGAAUUAAAAUUAAAAAAUUAAAAUCUGUAAGGGUAGUUUCAGAAAAGGAUGAAAAUAAAAAAAGACACAAAGUUCUUUUAUUCUUAAAUAUAUUGACAUGUGAUUUUCAUCCCACAUACUAUUUUAAAAUUAUGUGUUUAUUAUAUACAUAUAGACACUUAUAUGAUUAAUUAAAGAUUUGCUCUCUAUAGUAGUAUUUAAUUAGAUAUUUUUAAAAAUUGUUCAUAUAACUUUCUCUUUGCUUUUAAAUUGUUUCAGUUUUAUUAAAUUUAGUGAUCACUAGAGGAAAAUCCGGGCGUUAAUAAUUGACAUUUUUAGAUUAAUUAACUUAAGUUUAAAUUCAAUUUUAGUUAUACAUUAAAAAGUCAUAUGAUAUUGUAUUUAGCAUUUUAAUAAAUAUAACCUAUAUGAUACUAUUAAUCUAUUCAUUCUAAUUUAUAUUUACAAAUUGAAAUUUAUUUUUUGUUUCUUAUUAUUACUUAUAUAUAUUUUUUUUCUCUUCUAUAUAGUCUCUAAUAAUCUUAAAGGAAAAUGAUCUCUUCAUAAUAGUAUGAAAUGUACCUUUUCUAAUAGUAGUUUUAAUUUUGGAGAAAUUCCAAAAGCUUUUCAAAUUUAUCUUCUUUAGUUAUGUUGUUAAGGAUUUGAAUAUGUGUAAUUUGAUAACUUGGUUUCUAAUGUUAUGAAAUCUUGAAGAAAAAUAACAAAAAUAUCAUUAUUUUUAAAUAACCAAGCAAUGGAUUAGCAAGUAAAGAACGAUGGUUCUUGUGUGAUACUACAUCAUUGACUUUGAUCGUGUUAAGAAGUCAAUAUUCAAAUUCCCUUUAAAUGUUUUGAUUAGUUUAUUUUUCACUUUAUAUGUAAAAGCUAAAACUUUUCUUUCCCAUUUUAUCAGCGGCUUAAAUUUAAAAUCACUUUCGGAAUUUUAGCAGCCAAAUUUUCAAUUACUUUCAACCUAAUUAUUUUAGUUUGUUUGAACAAAUUUGACCUAAUUAUCUCAAAGCUUGAACUGAACGUAUCCAACACAUUCGCUUCGACAUAACGACAAGAGCGGAGUAGGGAAGACAAAAUUUUGACCUCAUGAAUUUUAAAGCCUUGACAAACUUGAUAUAUGGUCAUAUUGAAAUAAACUGCAAGCAUGUAAGAAAAAAUUUAAAUCUCAGUAAUAUGAAAGUGUAUGUAAAUGGGUCAUUCUUAUUAUUUAUAAAAAAACCAUUGAAACUUUUUGAGGAAAACCACAUGCUAAAUGUUUUUUAAAGGAACAUUAUUUCAUUACACAUUUUAAUUUUCAUUGAAAUUGAUUCCAAAACUUACGAUGAAAGCCAUAUAUAAUACUAUCAAAUCCAAGUGAAAGUAUUUUAUUUUUGUUCAUCACAGUGCGUUGAAGUUUUGUCCUACACAUACACACAUCAUCUAAUCACACGUAUAGAAACAAAAUAUACAUAGAGGGAUGGAUCUUUAUGUUAGUAGAGCAAAAAUACCUCUAAAGCGUGAACUGAGGUUUUUACGCUUCAGUUUUUCUAAUCUAAGGGUUAUCUUGGGUAGUCGGCUUCGGCAAUUCGCUUCCAGGGUGCUGCGUGCGAGCAAUCGAGGAACUGAGCAAGGUAAAUGUUGGCGGAUUCAUGAUUUCGGAGGAUGAUGCUGGUCUCUUCCACGAAUUUGUAUCUACUAUUAAUUACACUUUCGUAGAGUGAACUUCUCUAGAGUGAUCCAAUGAUGUUGAUGACCACGCCAAAUUCAUCAACAUUUGAGAAGUAAUAAGUGCGAUGAAUUUUGAUUGGGUGGCUUAGGGGGAAUUCCAAAAGCUGAAGUUUGGGCGAGGGGAGUCUCUUGAGUGACCUAUUAUAUACUAUGUGUCAAUGAGAUGUGGAUAAUUGUAAGUGGUUUUUAAGAGUGAUGUGGCAUCUUGCAAAAUCUCCGCUUACGUGGCUUCCUCUAAAAUGCUUUUGAUUGUGCUGAUGUGGAUAUAUUGAGAGGCCUCAAUGAACACCUUUUAUUAGUAAGAGAUGUUGCCAGAACUAAGAGUUGAUUCGUAUUAUUAACACUGCUCAUGCCGCAUGUAUGUAAUUUAAUUUAGAUCACUUUUUAGCUUUGUUUUGAAUUAUUUUGGAAUAUGAGUUCUACAUAACGUGAGUUUAUUUUGUAAGUUUCUUUUUUUUUCUUAUAUUGUGGAGUGUGAUCAAGCUGCUUUUGGAGAAGUGAAUUAGUUCAAUAUGAUUCAUGUUUCCUAUGAUCACGAUAUUCUUCAUCACUCCAUCUACAAACUUAUAAAAAAAAACAAUUGUAAGUACACGAUUAGAUUGUUUGUGUGUGUGCUUGAUUUAGUGUUUGUAGAUAUUUGUUUUGUAAGCAAUAUUAUUUUUAAUUAAAAUUUAAAACAAGUACUAAACCCAAACUUUUUAUAUAUAUAUAUAUAUAUAAGUAUUGAUUUGUUAGGAUUUUUCGGUUUAAUUGAGAGUCAUGUUUCUGAUAUGAUUUUUGCUCUGUCUUUGUGUUAUCAUCAACCGGAAUCAGCCAUGGUGAAUUAUAUAGUAAAGCAAUACGUUGUUGCAAUAGAAGGAGAUACGACAUUGGUCGCAGUGGAGAGCAUGUAUGUUAUAGGAAAGGUCAAAAUGGCAUCGAAAACCCUAAUCGGAAGAGAAAGAAGAAGAUGGUGAUGAUAUGAAAUGUUAACAACGUUACUUGAGCACGUAGCUGGAGAUGAGGAUGAAAAGAACAUGUUCUACAUCCUUUAGUAUCUUGAAAUCUUUCUUUUGCAGGUGAUAGAGAACACAAAAGUUAUGAUUGUAUCUAUAGAGGAAUGAGAAGGAACAGAUGGAAGACUCUUACAUACCGGUAAAAGAAAGAGAGGAGAUAGCAUUAAGGGAACGCGAAUGUUUGAAUCUGAUACAUGCACUCAUUUAUUGUUGUUGUUACCCUGAGGUCGCUUCACCAAUGCUACGGUGAUCAUGCAUUGGUUUUAUCUAAAUUUUUUUCGUUUAGUUUGUAGUCAUGCAUGCCUUUGUUUAUAUGUUAACCUCAAUUUCUUAGUCCGUUAGUGGUUUUACUUGUACAAACAAGGGAAAUACCGCUGAUGUUGAAUACUUACUUCAUAUUUGAACGUGGAGGACGAUCUUGAGACCAAUGAAGAUGAAGAAGAAGAAUUAAGAAUAUUAUUGGUAUACAGAAUAGAAAAUGAGUGAAUAUUAUUGGUAUACGGAAUAGAAAAUGAGUCAAGAUCAUUAGUGAUUCAAAACUGAUCAAUUAAAUUCUGAUAUAUAAUAGUUAUUUAUAAUGGUUGGUCCAUAAUGUAUAUUUUAUUUUAAAAUUAAUAGUAAAAUUAUUUGAUAACUACAAUAUAGUUUAGUUACUUUAUAAAAAAAACCUUCACCCUACAGAAGUUACAUAAUUUUAUUAUUAAUUUCUCACUGAAUGACAAAAUAAUUUUAUAAAACCUGAUCAACAUGAUAACAAAACAAGAGAAGCAAAGUUGAUAGUUUUCGGGAGUCUGAUGAAAGAGUUCUUGAUAAGCGUAGAAAUUAUUUGUUGAACAUAAGUUUGGCUGUAACAAUGAUAACACAAAACAUGAGCAAAAUAGCGAUUUUCUGCAGCCUAAUGAAAGAGCUUUUGAUAAAUGUAGAAAUAGUUUGCUGAUUGAUGAGUUUGGCUAUAACCAUGAUAACAAAAAAAGGAGCAAAAUUGACCUUUUUUUGCAAGGUGAUGAAAGAGUUCUUGAUAAACGUAAAAAUUAUUUGUUCAUUGAUAAGUUUGCCUAUAACCAUGAUAACAAAACAAGAGAGCCAAAAUUGACGGCUUUCUACUGUCUGAUGAAAGAGAUCUUGAUAAACGUAUAAAUCAUUUGCUGAUUGAUGAGUUUGGCUAUAACAAUGAUAACGAAAAAGAAGCAAAAUUGACGGUUUUCUGCAGGCUCAUGAAAAAGUUCUUGAUAAACAUAGAAAUCAUUUGCUAAUGAUGAGUUUGGUUAUAACCACGAUGGAAAAAAGAGAGCCAAAUUGAUGAUUUUCUACAGUCUGAUGAAAGAGCUCUUGAUAAACGUAGAAAUCGUUUGCCGAUUACAGAGUUUUGCUAUAACCAUUAUAACAAAAAAAGGGGCAAAAUUGACGCUUUCUGCAGUUCGAUGAAAGAGAAAUUGAUAAACGUAGAAAUCAUUUGAUGAUUGAUGAGUUUGGCUAUAACCAUGAUAACAAAGAAAAAUGAGCAAAAGUGACGGUUUUCUACAGUGUAAUGAAAGAGCUCUUGAUAAACGUAAAAAUUAUUUGCUCAUGAUGAGGUUGGCUAUAACCAUGAUUACAAACAAGAGAGAUAAAAUUGAUGGCAAUCUGCAGUCUGAUUAAUGAUAUCUUGAUUAACGUAGAAAUCAUAUGUUGAUUGUUGAGUUUGGCUAUAACAAUGAUAACGGAAAAAAUGAGCAAAAGUGACAGUUUUCUGAAGGCUCAUGAAAAAUCUCUUGAUAAACGUAGAAACCAUUUGUUGAUGAUUAGUUUGGGUAUAUCCAAGAUAACAAAAAAAAAAAGAAAAAGCAAAAUUAACGUCUUUUCGCAGUCUGAUGAAAGAGGUCUUUGAUUAACGUAGAAAUCAUUUGCCGAUUGGAGAGUUUAACUAUACCCAUUCUAACAAAAAAGAGCAAAGUUGACGAUUUUUGGCAGUCUGAUGAAAGAGCUCUCGAUAAUCGUAAAAAUCAUUGGCUGAUUGAAGAGUUUUGCAAUAACCAUUAUAAUGGUAAAUGAGCAAAUUGAAGGUUUUCUGCAGCCUAACGAAAGAGCUCUUGAUUAACUUAGAAAUUUGUUGAUUGAUGAGUUUGGCUAUAGCCAUAAAAAAAAAUAGGAGCAAAAUUGACGGUUUUCUACUGUCUAAUGUAAGAGGUUUUAGUAAACGUAUAAAUCAUUUGCUGAUUGAAGAGUUUGGUUAUAACAAUGAUAACAAUAAAAUAGAGCAAAAUAGACAGUUUUCUCCAGGAUGAAGAAAGAGCUAUUGAUAAAUGUAGAAAUUAUUUGCCGAUAUUGAUGAGUUUGACUAUAACAAUGAUAACAAAAUAAAAGAACAAAAUUGACGGAUUCUUUCAGCCUCAUGAAGAAAUGUUGAUAAAUGUAGAAAUUAUUUUUUGAUAUAUGUGUUUGGCUAUAAUCAUUGAUUAAAAAGAACAUGAUGAGCAAAGUUGAUGGUUUUCUUCAACUUCAUGAAAAAGCUCUUGAUAAACGUAGAAAUCGUUUGUUGAUUGAUGAGUUUGGCUAUAACAAUGAUAACCAACAAACAGGAGAAAAAUAACGAUUUUCUACAUCCUCAUGCAGAAAUAAUUUGCUGAUUGAUGAGUUUGCCUAUAACCAUGAUAACAAAAAAAAGGAGCGAAAUGUACGUUUUUGCUACGUAAUGAAAGAGCUCUUGGUAAACGUAAAAAUGAUUUGUUCAUUGAUGAGUUUUGCUAUAACCAUAAUAAAAAAAAACAAGAGAGACAAAAUUGGCGACUUUCUGUAGUCCGAUGAAAGAGAUCUUGAUAAACAUAGAUAUCAUUUGUUGAUUGAUGAGUUUGGCUACAAAAAUGAUAAAGAAAAAAUAAGCUAAAGUGACAGUUUAUUACAGGUUCAAGAAAAAGCUUUUGAUAAACGUAUAAAUCUUUUGUAGAUGAUGAGUUUAGCUAUUACCAUGAUAACAAAACAAAAAAAAAAACUGACGGUUUUCUCCAGUCUAAUGAAAGAGCACUUGAUAAACGUAAAAAUAAUUUGCUGAUUGAAAAGUUUUAGCAUGAUCAUUAUAACGAAAAAUGAGCAAAAGUGAAGAUUUUUUGCAGCCUGAUGAAAGGGCUCUUGAUUCGCAGAGAAAUUAUUUGCUAAUUGAUGAGUUUGGCAAUAGCCAUGAUAACAAAAAAAAAGAAUUUUGAGGGUUUUCUGCUGUCUAAUGAAAGAGCUCUUAAUAAAAGUAGAAAACCUUUGCUGAUUGAUGAGUUUGGCUAUAACAAUGAUACCCUUAAAAGAGAGCAAAAUUGACAGUUUUCUAUAGCCUAAUAAAAGAGCUCUUGGUAAACGUAGAAAUCAUUUGCUGAAUUAUGAGUUUGGCUAUAACUUGAUAACAAAAGAAUGAGCAAAAUUGACGAUUUUUUGCAGCCUCAUGAAAAAAUUGUUAAUAAACAUAAUAAUCACUUUCUGAUUUAUGAUUUUGGCUAUAACCAUAAUUAGAAAAAAAAACAAGAGGAGCAAAGUUGACUGUUUUCUGAAGUCUGAUGAAAGAGCUCUUGAUAAGCAAGCGUAUAAAUCAUUUACUGAAGAUGAGUUUGGCUAUAACAAAGAUAACAAAAAAUGAGUAAAAUAGCGAUUUUCUGCAGCCUGAUGAAAGAGUUUUUGAUAAAUGUAUAGUUUUUGAUAAUUAUGUUGAAUAUAGAUCUCAGUAUUACCGACGAGAUGCUUUGUUGGUAGUUACUUUUUUUUUUUGUCGUCUAUAAUCGAAACUCUAAAAUUUUUGACGGAACGUUAACUGAUUAUGAUGUUAUAAACCGGGUGUCACGAAUCCUGAAAACGACGAAGUACCUAUCGUCACACGCAAAGAGAAUGCUAUGGAGGAAUGAUGACGUUCGUUGUUUUCUUAUUGUCUUGGAAAUUUUUUUUUGUAUUUUUUUAAUGAUUAUCAUCUUAUUUUUACCAUUUAUAACAUUCUCUUAUCUCUCCAAAUUGAAGAUUUUCUGCAGCCUAAUGAAAGAGCUCUUGAUUAACAUAGAAAUCAUUUGAUGAUUGAUGAGUUUGGCAAUAGACAUGAUAACAAAAAAAGAAGAGUAAAAUUGACAGUUUUCUGCUGUCUAAUGAAAUAGCUCUUGAUAAACGUAUAAAACAUUUACUGAUUGAUGAGUUUGGCUAUAACAUUGAUAAAAAAAAGAGCAAAAUAGACAGUUUUCUGCUGCCUAAAGAAAGAGGUUUUGAGAAACGUAGAAAUCAUUUGUUGAUUGAUGAGUUUGGUUAUAACAAUGAUAACGAGUUUGGUUAUAACAAUGAUAACAAUAAAAGAGAGCAAAAUCGACAGUUUUCUGCAGUCUGAUGAAAGAGCUAUUGAUAAAUGCAGAAAGUGUUUGCUGAUUGAUGAGUUUUUCUAUAAUAAUAAUAACAAAAUAAAAUAAACAAAAUUGACGGUUUCUUUCAGUCUCAUGAAGAAAUAUUGAUAAACGUAGAAAUUAUUUUCUGAUAUAUGUGUUUGGCUAUAAUCAUGAUUAUAAAGAAUAAGAUGAGCAAAGUUGACGGUUUUCUUCAACUUCAUGAAAAAGCUCUUGAUAAACGUAGAAAUCGUUUGUUGAUUGAUGAGUUUGACUAUAACAAUGUUAACGAAAAAACAGGAGAAAAAUAACGAAUUUCUGCGUCAUGAUGAAAGAGCUUUCGAUAAGUGUAGAAAUAUUUUGCUGAUUGAUGAGUUUGGUUAUAACCAUGGUAACAAAAAAAAGAGAGCGAAAUUGACAUUUUUUCAACGUAAUGAAAAAGCUCUUGGUAAACGUAAAAAUUAUCUGUUCAUUAAUGAGUUUGGCUGUAACCAUUAAAAAUAAAACAAGAGAGACAACAUUGACGAUUUUCUUUAGUCGAUGAAAGAGAUCUUGAUAAACGUAGAUAUCAUUUGUUGAUUGCUGAAUUUGGCUACAACAAUGAUAAAGAAAAAAAUGAGCAAAAGUGACAAUUUUCUGCAGGUUCCUGAAAAAGUUUAUGAUAAAUGUAUAAAUCUUUUGCAGAUGAUAAGUUUGGCUAUUAAUAUGAUAACAAAAAAAAAAAUUGACGGUUUUCUGCAGUCUAAUGAAAGAGCUCUUGAUAAACGUAGAAAUCGUUUGCAGAUUAAAGAGUUUUGCUAUAACCAUUAUAACGGAAAAAGGGGCAUAAUUGAUGGUUUCUGCAAUCCGGUGAAAAAGAUCUUAAUACACGUAGAAAUAAUUUGUUGAAUGAUGAGUUUGGCUAUAACCAUGAUAAUAAAAAAGGAGCAAAAGUGACUGUUUUUUGCAACGUAAUGAAAGAGGUCUUGAUAAACGUAAAAAUUAUUUGCUCAUUAAUGAAUUUGGCUAUAACAAUGAUUACAAACAAGAGAGAUAAAAUUUACGUCUUUAUGCAAUCCGAUUAAUGAUAUCUUGAUUAACGUAACAUAGAAAUCAUAUGCUGAUUGAUAAGUUUGGAUAACAAUGAUAACAGUUUGACAAAAAAAAAAAAAAAAAAAAAAGGAUAACAAUGAUAAAAAAAAAUGAGCAAAAUUGACAGUUUUUUGCAGGCUCAUGAAAAAGCUCUUGCUAAACGUAGAAAUCAUUUGUUGAUGAUGAGUUUGGCUAUAUCCAUGAUAACAAAAAAAAAAAAAAGCAAAACUGACAGCUUUCCGCAGUUUGAUGAAAGAGAUCUUUGAUAAACAUAAAAAUCAUUUACCGAAAGAAGAGUUUAGCUAUAACCAUUCUAACAGCAAAAGAGCAAAGUUGACGAUUUUUAGCAGUCUGAUGAAAGAGAUCUCGAUAAAUGUAAAAAUCAUUGACUGAUUGAAGAGUUUUGCAAUAACCAUUAUAACGGUAAAUGAACAAAAUAGAAGGUUUUCUGCAGCCUAACGAAAGAGCUCUUGAUUAACUUAGAAAUUUACUGAUUGAUGAGUUUCGCUGUAGCCAUACAAAAAAAAAAAAUAGGAGCAAAGUUGACGAUUUUCUACUGUCUAAUAUAAGAGGUUUUGGUAAACGUAUAAAUCAUUUGCUGAUUGAUGAGUUUGGUUACAAUGAUAACAAUAAAAGUGAGCAAAAUAGACAGUUUUCUGCAGCCUGAUGAAAUAGAUAUUGAUAAAUGUAGAAAUCAUUUGUCGAUUGAUUAGUUUGACUAUAACAAUGAUAACAAAAUAAAAGAAUAUAAUUGACGGUUUAUUUCAGCCUCAUGAAGAAAUGUUGAUAAAAGUAGAAAUUAUUUUCUGAUUUAUGUGUUUGGCUAUAAUCAUGAUUAAAAAGAACAAGAUGAGCAAAGUUGACUGUUUUUUUCAACUUCAUGAAAAAGCUCUUGAUAAACGUAGAAAUCGUGUGUUGAUUGAUGAGUUUGGCUAUAACAAUGAUAAGCAAUUAAACAGGAGAAAAUAACGAAUUUCUGCGUCCUGAUGAAAGAGCUUUCGAUAAAUGUAGAAAUAAUUUGCUAAUUGAUGAGUUUGACUAUAACAAUGAUAACAAAAAAAUAGCGAAAUUGACGUUUUUUGCAACGUAAUGAAUGAGCUCUUGGUAAACGUAAUAAUUAUUUGUUCAUUGAUGAGUUUGGCUAUAACCAUAAUAAAAAAAAACAAGAGAGACAAAAUUGACGACUUUCUGUAGUCGAUGAAAGAGAUCUUGAUAAACGUAGAUAUCAUUUGUUGAUUGAUGAAUUUGGUUACAACAAUAAUAAUGAAAAAAAUGAGCAAAAGUGACAGUUUUCUCGAGGUUCAUGAAAAAGCUUUUGAUAAAUGUAUAAAUCUUUUGCAGAUGAUGAAUUUGGCUAUUACCAUGAUAACAAAAAAAAAAAAUAGACAGUUUUCUGUAGUCUAAUGAAAGAGCUCUUGAUAAACGUAGAAAUCGUUUGCAGAUUAAAGAGCUUUGUUAUAACCAUUAUAACGGAAAAAUGGGCAUAAUUGAUGGUUUCUGCAAUCCGAUCAAAGAGAUCUUAAUAAAUAUAAAUUUUUUUUGCUGAUUGAUGAGUUUGGCUAACCAUGAUAAUAAAAAAAAAAGGAACAAAGUGACGGUUUUUUGUAACGUAAUGAAAGAGGUCUUGAUAAACGUAAAAAUUAUUUGCUCAUUAAUGAGUUUAGCUAUAACCAUGAUUACAAACAAGAGAGAUAAAAUUAACCGGCCUUCUGAAGUCCGAUUAAUGAUAUCUUGAUUAACGUACAAAUCAUAUGUUGAUUUAUGAGUUUGGCUAUAUAAUGAUAACAAAAAAAAUGAGCAAAAUUGACAGUUUUAUGCGAGCUCAUGAAAAACUCUUGAUAAACGUAGAAAUCAUUUAUUGAUGAUGAUUUUGGCUAUAUCCAUGAUUAAAAAAAAGCAAAAUUAACGGCUUUUCGCAGUCUGAUGAAAGAGAUCUUUGAUAAUCGUAAAAAUCAUUUGAUGAUUGAAGAGUUUAGCUAUAACCAUUUUAACAAAAAAAGAGCAAAGUUGACGAUAUUUGACAGUCUGAUGAAAGAGCUCUCGAUAAACGUAAAAAUUAUUGGCUGAUUGAAGAGUUUUACAAUAACCAUUAUAACGGUAAAUUAGCAAACUCAAAAGUUUUCUGCAGCCUAACAAAAAAGCUAUUGAUUAACUUAAAAGUUUUCUGGUUGAUGGUUUGGCUAUAGCCAUCAAAAAAAAUUGGAGCAAAAUUGACGGUUUUCUACUGUCUAAUGUAAGAGGUUUGGGUAAACGUAUAAAUUAUUUGCUGAUUGAUGAGUUUGGUUAUAACAAUGAUAACAAUAAAAGAGAGCAAAAUAGACAGUUUUCUACAGCUUUAUGAAAGAGUUAUUGAUAAAUAUAGAAAUCAUUUGCCGAUUGAUGAGUCUGACUAUAACAAUGAUAACUAAAUAAGAGAACAAAAUUGACGGUUUCUUUCAGCCUCAUGAAGAAAUGUUGAUAAGCAUAAAAAUUAUUUUUCGAUAUAUGUGUUUGGCUAUAAUCAUGAUUAAAAAUAACAAGAUGAGCAAAAUUGACGGUUUUCUUAAGCUUCAUGAAAAAGCUCUUGAUAAACGUAGAAAUUGUUUGUUGAUUGAUGAGUUUAGCUAUAACAUUGAUAACCAAAAAAACAUGAGAAAAAUAACGAUUUUUUAUGUCCUGAUGAAAGAGCUUUCAAUAAAUGUAGAAAUAAUUUGCUGAUAGAUGACUUUUGCUAUAACCAUGAUAACAAAAAAAAGUUAGCAAAAUAGACGUUUUUUCAACGUAAUGAAAGAGCUCUUGGUAAACGUAAUAAUUAUUUGUUCAUUGAUGAGUUUGGCUAUAACCAUAAUAAAAAAAAAACAAGAGAGACAAAAUUGACGACUUUCUAUAGUCGAUGGAAGAGAUCUUGAUAAACGUAGAUAUCAUUUGUUGAUUGAUGAGUUUGGUUACAACAAUGAUAAAGAAAAAAAUGAGCAAAAGUGACAGUUUUCUCCAGGUUCAUGAAAAAGCUUUUGAUAAAUGUAUAAAUCUUUUGCAGAUGAUGAGUUUGGCUAUUACCAUGAUAACAAAAAAAAAUAGACAGUUUUCUGUAGUCUAAUGAAAGAGCUCUUGGUAAACGUAGAAAUCGUUUGCAGAUUAAAGAGCUUUGUUAUAACCAUUAUAACGGAAAAAUGGGCAUAAUUGAUGGUUUCUUCAAUCCGAUCAAAGAGAUCUUAAUAAAUGUAGAAAUUUUUUGCUGAUUGAUGAGUUUGGCUAACCAUGAUAAUAAAAAAAAAGGAACAAAGUGAUGGUUUUUUGUAACGUAAUGAAAGAGGUCUUGAUAAACGUAAAAAUUAUUUGCUCAUUAAUGAGUUUAGCUAUAACCAUGAUUACAAACAAGAGAGAUAAAAUUAACAGGCCUUCUGAAGUCCGAUUAAUGAUAUCUUGAUUAACGUACAAAUCAUAUGUUGAUUGAUGAGUUUGGCUAUAAAAAUGAUAACAAAAAAAAUGAGCAAAAUUGACAGUUUUAUGCGAGCUCAUGAAAAAACUCUUGAUAAACGUAGAAGUCAUUUAUUGAUGAUGAUUUUGGCUAUAUCCAUGAUUAAAAAAAAAGCAAAAUUAACGGCUUUUCGCAGUCUGAUGAAAGAGAUCUUUGAUAAUCGUAAAAAUCAUUUGAUGAUUGAAGAGUUUAGCUAUAACCAUUUUAACAAAAAAAAAAGAGCAAGGUUGACGAUAUUUGACAGUCUGAUGAAAGAGCUCUCGAUAAACCUAAAAAUUAUUGGCUGAUUGAAGAGUUUUACAAUAACCAUUAUAACGGUAAAUUAGCAAACUCAAAAGUUUUCUGCAGCCUAACAAAAGAGCUAUUGAUUAACUUAGAAGUUUGCUGGUUGAUGGUUUGGCUAUAGCCAUAAAAAAAAAUUGGAGCAAAAUUGACGGUUUUCUACUGUCUAAUGUAAGAGGUUUUGGUAAACGUAUAAAUUAUUUGCUGAUUGAUGAGUUUGGUUAUAACAAUGAUUACAAUAAAAGAGAGCAAAAUAGACAGUUAUCUACAGCCUUAUGAAAGAGUUAUUGAUAAAUUUAGAAAUCAUUUGCCGAUUGAUGAGUCUGACUAUAACCAUGAUAACUAAAUAAGAGAACAAAAUUGACGGUUUCUUUCAGCCUCAUGAAGAAAUGUUGAUAAGCAUAAAAAUUAUUUUCCGAUAUAUGUGUUUGGCUAUAAUCAUGAUUAAAAAUAACAAGAUGAGCAAAAUUGACGGUUUUCUUAAGCUUCAUGAAAAAGCUCUUGAUAAACGUAGAAAUUGUUUGUCGAUUGAUGAGUUUAGCUAUAACAUUGAUAAUCAAAAAAACAGGAGAAAAAUAACGAUUUUUUAUGUCCUGAUGAAAUAGCUUUAAAUAAAUGUAGAAAUAAUUUGCUGAUUGAUGACUUUUGCUAUAACCAUGAUAACAAAAAAAAGAUAGCAAAAUAGACGUUUUUUUCAACGUAAUGAAAGAGCUCUUGGUAAACGUAAUAAUUAUUUGUUCAUUGAUGAGUUUGGCUAUAACCAUAAUAAAAAAAAACAAGAGAGACAAAAUUGACGACUUUCUAUAGUCGAUGGAAGAGAUCUUGAUAAACGUAGAUAUCAUUUGUUGAUUGAUGAGUUUGGUUACAACAAUGAUAAAGAAAAAAAUGAGCAAAAGUGACAGUUUUCUCCAGGUUCAUGAAAAAGCUUUUGAUAAAUGUAUAAAUCUUUUGCAGAUGAUGAGUUUGGCUAUUACCAUGAUAACAAAAAAAAAAAUAGACAGUUUUCUGUAGUCUAAUGAAAGAGCUCUUGGUAAACGUAGAAAUCGUUUGCAGAUUAAAGAGCUUUGUUAUAACCAUUAUAACGGAAAAAUGGGCAUAAUUGAUGGUUUCUGCAAUCCGAUCAAAGAGAUCUUAAUAAAUGUAGAAAUUUUUUGCUGAUUGAUGAGUUUGGCUAACCAUGAUAAAAAAAAAAAAAAAGGAACAAAGUGACGGUUUUUUGUAACGUAAUGUAAGAGGUCUUGAUAAACGUAAAAAUUAUUUGCUCAUUAAUGAGUUUAGCUAUAAUCAUGAUUACAAGCAAGAGAGAUAAAAUUAACCGGCCUUCUGAAGUCCGAUUAAUGAUAUCUUGAUUAAUGUACAAAUCAUAUGUUGAUUGAUGAGUUUGGCUAUAAAAAUGAUAACAAAAAAAAUGAGCAAAAUUGACAGUUUUAUGCGAGCUCAUGAAAAAACUCUUGAUAAACGUAGAAAUCAUUUAUUGAUGAUGAUUUUGGCUAUAUCCAUGAUUAAAAAAAAAAGCAUGAAAGUUUUCUGCAGCCUAACGAAAGAGCUAUUGAUUAACUUAGAAAUUUGCUGGUUGAUGGUUUUGCUAUAGCCAUAAAAAAAAUAUGAGCAAAAUUGACGGUUUUCUACUGUCUAAUGUAAGAGGUUUUGGUAAACGUAUAAAUUAUUUGCUGAUUGAUGAGUUUGGUUAUAACAAUGAUAACAAUAAAAGAGAGCAAAAUAGACAGUUUUCUACGGCCUGAUGAAAGAGCUAUUGAUAAAUGUAGAAAUUAUUUGCCGAUUGAUGAGUUUGGCUAUAACAAUGAUAACCAAAAAACAGGAGAAAAAUAACGAUUUUUUACGUCCUGAUGAAAGAGUUUUCAAUAAAUGUAAAAAUAAUUUGCUGAUUGAUGACUUUGGCUAUAAUCAUGAUAACAAAAAAAAGGAGCGAAAUUGAUGUUUUUUGUAACGUAAUGAAAGAGCUCUUGGUAAAUAUAAAAAUGAUUUGUUCAUUGAUGCUUUUGGCUAUAACCAUAAUAAAAAACAAGAGAGACAAAUCGACAACUUUCUGUAGUCCGAUGAAUGACAUCUUGAUAAACCUAGAUAUCAUUUGUUGAUUGAUGGGUUUGGUUACAACAAUGAUAAAAAAAAAAUGAGCAAAAGUGAUAGUUUUCUGCAGGUUCAUGAAAAAGCUUUUGAUAAACGUAUAAAUCUUUUGCAGAUGAUGAGUUUGGCUAUUACCAUGAUAACAAAAAAAAAAAAAAAUUGACGGUUUUCUGCAGUCUAAUGAAAGAGCUUUUGGUAAACGUAAAAAUAAUUUGCUGAUUAAAAAGUUUUAGUAUGACUUUUAUAACGAAAAAUGAUCAAAAUCGAAGAUUUUUUGCAGCCUGAUGUUAAAGUUAUUGAUUCGCAGAGAAAUCAUUUGCUAAUUGAUGAGUUUGUGGCAAUAGCCAUGAUAACAAAAAAAAAAAAUUGACGGUUUUCUUCUGGCUAUAACAAUUGUAACAAUAAAAAAGAACAAAAUAGAUACUUUUCUAUAACCUACUGAAAGAGUUCUUGAUAAAUGUAGAAAUUAUUUGUUGAUUUAUGUGUUUGGCUAUAACCAUGAUAACAAAAAAAUGAGCAAAAUUGACGGUUUUUUGGAGCCAUAUGAAAGAAUUGUUAUUAAACAUAAUAAUCACUUUCUGAUUUAUGAUUUUGGCUAUAACUAUAAUUAGAAAAAAAAAACAAAAGGAGCAAAGUUGAUGGUAAUCUGAAGUCUGAUGAAAGAAUUCUUGAUAAGCGUAUAAAUCAUUUACUGAAGAUGAGUUUGGCUAUAACAAAGAUAACAAAAAAACAUGAGUAAAAUAACGAUUUUCUGGAGUCUAAUGAAAGAGCUUUUGAUAAAUGUAGAAAUCAUUUGUUGAUUGAUGAGUUUUUGAUAAUUAUGUUGAAUCCGGAUCUCAGUAUUACCAAUGAGAUGCUUUGUUGGUAAUUACUUUUUUAUUUUUUUUGUCGUCCACAAUCAAAACUCUAAAAUUUUCGACGGAACGUUAACUGAUUCUGAUGUUAUAAACCGGGUGUCAGGAAUCCUGAAAACGACGAAGUACCUAUCGUCACAUGCAAAGAGAAUGCUAUAAAAUGAUGACGUUCGUUGUUUUCUUAUUGCCUUGAAAUUUUUGUUUUUUGUUUUUUUUUUUAUGAUUGGCAUCUUAUUUUCUUACCAUUUAUAAUAUUCUUUUAUCUCUCAUGAUUUUACCGUUUAUGCACGAUAACUUACACCAUUUGUAUAUAUAUUAUUACUAUGGUGUUGAUAAUAGAGUGAUAUAUUUUUAUCCUUAAAUUUCGUUAGUAUAUAUUUCAGUUUAACUGUUGAGAUUUAGUUUUUUUUUUUCUAAACUUAAUUUAUUAAUCUUAUGGAUAAAUUCUAUAUCGUUUAAUCAAUAUUCGUUUUUGUUAAUUUUCUGAUUUAGUUUUUAAUAUAUAUUUUCCAUUGUUAUGUUCUUUCCAAAUAAUCGUUAGGUCUACAUAUACGUAUCGCGCGUUUAUACCUCAUUGGAUUGUUUAGCCGAGUAAUCUUUUGAUAUGGGUUCUACAAUGAUACCUUUUACCUCUGAUUCAUGUGAUGGUGGUUAUUUUCAUAUUGCGUCUCUUAACCCUAACAUGGGUGAGUGGUCUGUUUUGGUGAAGAUUUGAAUUGUUGGUCUAUUUCGCGUGACUCGGGUAGAGAGCUCAAUAUGAUUUUGGGUGACGAGCAUGUUAGUAUUUUAAUAACUUACCUUCUAUACAUGUUUUCGAUAUUAAAUUGAAUUGUUUUUUUCUUUAACAUUUCAUUUGCAGUUCACCCAAAUUUAAGCCGUUGUUCGUGAUGAAUUAAUUGAUAAUUAUUUUUCAAGAUUGAUAAUCGAUGAGUGGGUGAGCAUUAAAUUUUUUGAUGUAUCCCGGGUUAACAGCAUCUUGAGACCAGUACCGCAUAGAUUCAAGAUUGUGUUUCGUUCGGACACUUUAGUGCAAAGUAUUAAUAUGUGCUCCAGUAGAACCUAUUUCAAUCUAACUGAGUUUGUGAGUAUAUUGAGUGGUAUUGUUAACCCGAAUAUUUGCGUUAGUAAGCCUAAUUUAUGAAUUUAUUUGUGCUUUUGGAGUUUAUUUGCGAUUCAUGUUCUGACUGUAUUAUUCAUGUGUGUGUUUCAUAGAUGUUAUUGGCAAAAUUCUCAACGUGAGAGAGUUGGUUUUUGUUCCUUCCGUGGAACAUUCUCAAGGAGGAUAUUUUGAGCUGUGCUUUGGUUUACGUGAUACUGAGUAAGUCACUAUUCUUUUAAAGAUUUAAACCAGAAUAUAAUGUCUUAUGACUUCUUCAAAUCUUAAAAUUAGGUGUAUCCAUCUAGAGUGUCGUUUAACGGGUGACCUUGCAGUCGAGUUCUAUGACUUAUGGAAGCAUCGUUCACGUAACACAGUGAUAUGUAUUAUCAAGUUUGUGAAAUUAGAGCUAUCACAGGAACAUAGGUGGAGAUGUACCAAUGUUACCGGAAGUACGAGGAUUAUGUUGAAUCCGGAUCUCAGUAUUACCGACGAGAUGCUUUGUUGGUAAGUAUUUUUUUUUUCCGUUUACAAUCAAAACUCUAAAGUUGGCGACUGGACAUUCACUGUUUAUGGUGUUCUUAAUCGGAUGUCAGGAAUCCUGAAAAUGACCAAGUACCGAUCAUCACACGGAAGGAGAAUGCCAUGGAGUGAUGAUGUUCGUUGAUUUCUUAUUUUGUUGGUGAAUGAUUUUAAAAGAUGAUUUAUUAUUAUUUUUUAGCAUUUAUAAUAUUAUUGAAUUUUUUAAAUUUCAUCAUUUUCCAUAAUUUUAUCACACUAAAUCCUAAACAAUUUACCAUAUUUUUCUUACACUACCAAGUAACACCUAAACAAUCCCUUAUUUCACAUGAUUUUACCAUUUAUACAGCAUUCUUCCCGCGCAUGCGCGCGGGCAAUCACCUAGUUAACCAAACUUGGGUUAUAUUCUCGAUAACAAAUCAACUACUACAUUUUAUUUUUCGGUGCACCCAAUUAAAUCUUGUUGUUUGAAAAAAAAAAAUUGUCAUCUUUUAUGGGAAAUGUAAUUCAAAAGUCAUAACUUAGAUAACAAAAAACAAAAAACAAAUAAUUUGAGACAUAUAUAACUUACUCAGUUACUUUGAGAUGAAAAUUAGGAUAGAUGCAAAGUGAGAGAGUCGAAUCCCUAGUUUGAGAUCAAUGAAGUUUUUGACUUGUGAUUUGAUUUGUGAGAGAGAUAAUGACCUUAUAUAAGAAAAUUUAAACAAUUUUUAAUUAGGAUAAUUUCUAUUUUUUCUUCUAAAAAAGGAUUAUUUCUAUAUUACUUAUAUUUACCUUAUAAAGUUAUAAGGUAAUCUACAUUAUAUUUACCUCGCUCAUAUAUCCCGCAAUUAAUCUACAUUAAAUUCAAUCAUAUAACUCAUUUCUUAAACGAGCUUUAAAAAAUCGAGUUCUCGCUCAUAAGAAAGCGAGCUGAGCUGACGGCUUAUUUUGACACCCCCUAAUUUUGACAUAGUUCAUCUUCUAAACUCUUUUGGAAGUACAAAUGUAAGUCGAUACUAACCUUUCUUUUUCGAUUUGAAGAACUGAAUGAUUGAUGAGAACUUUGACCAACAUGGACUUCAUCGUCUUGCAUAUCAAGAUCCACAACGAUUAUUUUCUUCAGUUUCUCUUCGUUUUCUUUCAAUGAUUUUCUCAUGGAAUGUUGAACCUUGGAAGAAACCUUUUGGCCAUUAUAAAACUAAUUAAUGCAAUUGUCAUUGUUCCAUAAAUCAUCUCUUGAUAAUUGCUAUACACAAUUGGUCAUAUAUUGUAUAUUGUGGUUAAUCUUCUAAACUCUUUCUUAAGUACAAAUGUAAGUCGAUCCAUACUAACCUUUCUUUUUCGACUUGAAGAACUGCAAGAUUGAUGAGAACUUUGACCAACCUUUACUUCAUCGUCUUGCAUAUCAAGAUCCACAAUGAUUAUUUUCUUCGAUUUCUCUUCGUUUUCUUCCAAUGAUUUUCUCAUCGAAUGUUGAACCUUGGAAGAAACCUUUUGGCAUGCACUUCUGUUAGUCAAUCCAGCCAAGUGAUGUUUCAUUCUAUUUAUUUCACUUCCAACAUAUUGUUUACCACAAAAGUCACAAGCUAUAACUUUUUUCCCUCUUGAAUCAAUAGUUUCAUUAACAUAGUUCCACGCCAAAUCUUGUUUCUGAUGACGUGUGGAACGUUGCACAGAUUUCUCUUGCUUUAUAUUGCUUGCAUUUGGUGAAAAAGCUUUUUCCUUAUGAAUAUUCUCCAUUGAUGAGUAAACUACAAAAAGUAAAAAUGUCUGCACUGUUAAAUAUAUGUUCACGAUCACCAAUAGAAAUGUAUAUACUCUUAUAUACAAGGAUUGUCUUAAACGAACCACUCAAAGUUAUAUUUUCGGUUGGAUAUAUCAACGAUAAGAAGACUAGGCCAAACAACGACAAACGCACAAGGAUUGGAAGAAACUCGACACAAUUAAGAUAUGAAGUUGGAAGAUGUCAGUGAGAGUUAUUUUAACCGGGCCUUGUGGCCUAGUGGUAAAGGGGUCACAGCUGUGACUUCCGCCACCAGGGUUCGAGGCACGGCCACUGGCAGGUUUACAUAGGGGAAUUGCCAGCCUCGUGAGAUUAGUCUUUGGGCCUAGGAAGCCUUUGGGAGACUCGCGGUUAUUCAAAAAAAAAAAAAAAAGUUAUUUAUCAUUUCAGGAUUAAAAAAGCAUACGAAAUUGACGAAUAACGAAUUAAUGAAUGGUGAUAACUAUUUAAUUAUGGCAAAUUCAAUUAUGAUCCAUUAACACGUGAAGUGAAGAAGAUGACAAGAUAGAUUUGGUGAAGACAAAGACAUGAUUAUACCACGAAAGUGAGUUUGGUCGUCGUCUUUAUACGGGUUCUGAAAUAGAAGAACACAAGUUGACUCUACGUUGAACUGACCCGAUCUCACGGGUUAAAAGCUUGACUCUGCCUUGAAUCUAAGAGUCACUCUCUUUUUUUUUUUUUUUUUUUUUUGUCAACAUUUGGGCCACAACUAACCGGCCCAUUAGCCUAAUUUCUACAAUUAAAUUGUAGAGUCGGGGACUCGAUCCCUGGUGUGAUGGUGUCUGUCUUCUGUGGACUUAUCAUUUGCCACUAGACCAAGAUCACUUCACUAAGAGUCACUCUCUUUUUUUUUUUCUUCUUUUUUUUUUUUUUUUUUUUUUUUUUUUUUUUUUGGACAAAAAAUCUAAGAGUCACUCAAACCCAAGAAUUAUGGAGAAAUCUCAGAGAAAAAAACUGAAAACGUUUUAGGAACCCUAAUCAAUUUUUAAUCUUUUCAUUUUUAUAUAAGGAAUAGUUGAAAACACAAUAAUAAUAAAAUCUUAACAAAAUCAGAGAGAGACAAAAUCUUCCAUAUCUCUAUUUUACAACCUAUACAUAAAUAUUCAUUUUUGAUAUAGUGAUACUGUAUACUAAUGUAUAAUCGUGUCGAGAAUUAAAUUAGUCUUUUACGAAUUAUAUAUCGGACGACGGACAUAAUGACAUAUAAUAAAAUAUUGAAUAGUCUCCGACGGUCCAAAAAUACUCGUAAACAAAAAAAAGCAAAAAGAAAAAAGAGAAGAUGGAAUGAUCUUCUUCGACGAAAGGGGAAGAGGUUGAAUUCAAAAUCUCUCUCUCUUCUUCUCUGUCUCUUCUCGCGUGAGAGAAGCGUAGAUUUUUCCAGAUCUCAUCAUUGAAUUCAAAACUCAAAGCUAGAGAUAGAGAUAGAGAGGGAGAGAAUCGAUUCGGAGAAGAAGAAGAAGACGAGACGGAGCUGAAAGAAUGAUUACGAUCCCAUACCUUACCGCUGUAUCAACGUAUUUCAGCUACGGUUUGCUCUUCGCCUUUGGUCAGCUUCGCGAUUACUCCCGCCUAAUCUUCGGUUGGUGGCGCACCAACAAUCUCCAGGUUAAUUUCUCGAUUGGUAAGCGCUUGUGGCGUGUUGAGACUCUUCUUAACGUUUUCGCUUUUCGUUUAGGGAUACGCGCCGAUCUGCUUGGCGCAUGAGGAUUUCUACAUCAGACGAUUGUAUCAUCGGAUUCAGGUACCUCUCUAUUCUUUUCCCCUGCGUUUGUUUAGCAUCAUGUUCAAUCUCUGCAUUUGGUGGCUUAUGUUUUUUUUGUUUGGGUGGUGGUGGGAGGUAUAAGUCUUUGAACAAGUAAUUGUGCAUACACUAGGAAUUAGGAAAUGUUUCUUUGGUGGAAUCUUUGUUUCAGUGGUUUAGUGUUUGAUUCUUAAAUAUAUAUUUGUGUCAAGGACUGUUUUGGACGUCCCAUAUCAAGUGCACCUGAUGCCUGGAUUGAUGUGGUUGAGAGAGUUUCUGACGAUAACAACAAGACGCUAAAGUGAGUCUGUCAUCCUCUGUUUUUUUUCUAUUGAACAGUUUUUGUUUCUAUGGUCACAUUAAGAGAAUAUGAUACCAAAUGUAUGUCGAAGAAUAAACCUUCGGUUGCAACUCUGUGCAGGCGAACUACAAAGACUAGUAGGUGCCUUAAUCUGGGGUCCUACAAUUAUCUUGGAUUUGGUUCUUUUGAUGAAUAUUGUACGCCUCGUGUUAUUGAGUCUUUGAAGAAAUUUUCAGCUACUACAUGUAGCUCUCGCGUUGAUGCAGGUACAGUGUUGUCUUUCUGUAUUAGGUCUCGAACAAUCUCUUUCUCUUUGUUGUUGCCUGACAUUUGUUCUAUCUCCCACCAGGAACUACAUCUGUGCAUGCAGAACUUGAGGAAUGUGUUGCUAAAUAUGUCGGACAACCUGCUGCUGUUGUCUUUGGCAUGGGCUACGCAACAAACUCGGCUAUUAUUCCUGUCUUGAUUGGAAAGGUAAGUGUAUACUGCUAUAUCAUGUGAUGAACACUUUUGUUACUCCCAAAACCUAUGUUUUUGUAGCUUACUAUUUGCCUCCAUCUAUACAGGGAGGGUUGAUAAUAAGCGAUUCUUUGAACCAUACUUCAAUUGUCAACGGCGCUCGAGGUUCAGGAGCUACUAUCCGUGUUUUCCAACACAACAGUAAGCAUUUCUUAUGCUUCACUUUCCAUAUCUUUUGCAAAUUAAGUGGGUGUCAUGUCAUCUUUAUGCUCUCUUGUUAAAUUCUUCGCAGCACCUGCUCAUUUGGAAAAAGUAUUGAAAGAACAAAUCGCUGAGGGACAACCCAGGACGCAUAGACCGUGGAAGAAAAUUAUUGUUGUUGUUGAGGGUAUUUACAGCAUGGAAGGGGAAAUUUGUCAUCUGCCCGAGAUUGUCUCAAUAUGCAAGAAGUAUAAGGUGAGGUAACAUGGUAAACCAUCUUUCAUGUUCAACAUUGAUGAGAGAUUAAGGAGCUCGGUCAACUGAAUUAUCAUUUGCAACAUCAAAAUUGUCUAGACUAAUUUGGUUGUCUGAUGUGUACCUUAUUUUCUUGCAUAUCAUUUGUUCAGGCAUAUGUUUACUUGGACGAAGCUCACAGCAUUGGAGCAAUUGGCAAGACAGGAAGGGGUGUUUGUGAACUUCUGGGGGUUGACACUGCUGAUGUGGACAUAAUGAUGGGAACUUUCACGAAAUCUUUUGGGUCUUGUGGUGGCUAUAUUGCCGGAUCAAAGGUUAGCAAUUAGAUACUUUUGUUCAUUUACUGUUCUUUUGUUUGCACAUUUUCUUGGUUUAUUUAGUUUUGGUAUAUCAAAUUUAGACCUUUCAGAAAAACUUAGAACUAGAAAACCAAAUUACUAAAUCAUAAGAGAUCUUUCAGAAUUGCAUAAGAAAGUUACGACCAUUAGCAAAGAUGAGUAAAGAGCUGAUACACUAAGGCGUAACUGUAUUUACACAAUAGUCAUUGUGAUUGUUUAUGCUAGUACACUUCAUCUCAAAAUCAACCAAAGGCGUUAUAGCAUAUUGUGUUUCAUUUUUGGUAGGACCUCAUCCAAUAUUUGAAGCACCAAUGCCCGGCUCACCUUUACGCAACGUCAAUUUCAACUCCUUCCGCGACACAAAUCAUAUCGGCGAUAAAGGUUAUCCUUGGAGAGGACGGUUCAAACAGAGGUAUCUCUAUAGUUUAUUUUGCUCUAUGAGCUGUGACAUAUCGCCCUUUGAGCUUCGUAAUCUCAAGUUAUAGUCUCAAACUUUUCUAAAAACCUGUGGCAGGGGCACAAAAGUUAGCAAGAAUAAGGGAGAACAGCAACUUUUUCAGGGCUGAGUUGCAGAAGAUGGGGUUUGAGGUUCUUGGAGACAAUGAUUCCCCAGUCAUGCCAAUAAUGCUUUACAAUCCAGCAAAAAUUCCAGCCUUCUCAAGGGAAUGUUUGCGAGAAAAAGUAAGUUUCUCUUUCUUUUUUAUGCAAUAACUCAUUUGCUUCCACCCAAGAGAGACUCACCUCUUAUGUUCAAUGGAUAUUUAAAACUGUGGACAGUUGGCAGUUGUGGUCGUCGGUUUCCCAGCUACACCACUAUUGCUAGCCAGGGCUCGUAUUUGCAUAUCCGCAUCUCACUCAAGAGAAGAUCUUAUUAAAGCCCUACAGGUAAAAGAAAUCUUGCAAUGAGUUCACUUCUUUUCUCUCCCAUAUCAUUUACCCAGUGUUCUAAAAUACGCUUGGCGGUAAUCUGGCGGUGGAUCACCGUAUAGCGCCUAACUGUAUAUGCGGGGUAUACGGUGAAUAUAUUUUUAUAAAAAUAUAUAUGAUUAUAUAUAUAAUAUGAAUAUAUUGCAAAUAUAUAUAUUAUAAUAAAAAAAAACAAUUGUCAAAAAAAAUAAAAGGAGUCUCACGUUAAACUCCAACUCUCAAAAAAUGAAAACAUAAUGACAACCAUAUUUAUAUAAGCAGCACCGUAUUGAACCGUAUAACACCGUAUAACGACCGUAUUGAGCUGUAUAAUACCGUAUAAUGGCCGUAUUGAGCCGUAUAUCGCCGUAUAAGUGGUCGUAUUGAACCCAACCGUAUUUGUUAAACGCAUAGCUUAAAAAUAGUACAGUAGUCUGCCGUAUAGCGUAUAACUAGCGUAUAUACGGCCGCCUAGGGCGUAUUUUAGAACACUGCAUUUACCACGAAGAGCCCUAGUAGUAUUAGUAUAAAACCCGAAUUCCCGGGUUUCCAAAUAGGUCUAUAUAAAUCAAAUGAAGCCCUUCUCAGAAUAGUAUAUAUGAUUUGAGUCUACCUCAGAAGGCUAAAAGCCUAAGAAAGGGACUGUGCUUAUUAGUUGAUCUACAAAUGGAUUCACACGUUUUAAUUUUCGACGUGUUAUGACAGGUUAUAAGCAAAGCAGGUGACCUUACCGGGAUCAAAUAUUUUCCGGCUGCUCCAAAGAAGCAAGAAGUAGAGAAAAAUGGCAUCAAAUUGGAUUAAAACCGCAAUGCAUCAGUUUCUUUCCAAGAGAGGUUUGGUUAGCAAUUAGCAUUAGUGUACAAUUUCCUCGCUGUUCGUCUUUGCCUUGUCGUCCCCUCUACUUGUCGUGAAACAUGUGAUUGUUGUCAUUCUUCUUUCUUUAUUUUUUUUUUAAUUGGUUUUGUCAGAGUUAAUUGUAUAGUAUCCCAUCUUUAAAUUGUUGCCCCAAAAAAUUUACAGAUGUUAUCGAAGACAUUUUCGAAUUGUUUUGUUUUGGUCUUCCAGACCACGAAUAUGCCAGCAGAAGUGGUUCUCAAAACUACCAAAAAAACUUGCAUCAUGUUUGAAUUGCAUUCAUAAUUUUCCUUGGAUUUAGGAGUUGUACAUGCAAUUCAAGGAACGUUCAAUAAAGAGGUUUGUCAAUAUUGAUUCACUCGUUUGUGACUUCAUGUCUUCGUUAGCUAUUCAGUUCGCACAUGGUCCAGCCAAAACACACAUGAGUAACACAUAUACGAGUAUUGAGUUUUUGUGGCACUCUUGACUUCUUUUCUUAUGAGAAACUAUGAAGAAACAUUCUUCAACAACAUGAGUCCCAUGAUGAUCCAGGUUACCUUAAGAGGAACAUAAUUGUUUGUUGCAAGAAACUCCUCCUAUUUUAAAGGUUGUUGAUGGUACCCUGCCACUGUUGAUUCACAUUGAAUAUUUUAAAACACAUAAUUAUGUGGAUAUUUAUGUCUUAUAAGUUUGUUAUAUCGACUAACAUGUAACUAUUUAAGUUAGAUCUGAAUUAAAAAAUUAAUAAAAUCUUUUUGUAGAGGUAGCCGUUUUUGUCAUAUACGAAUACUAAAAAUAGUAAGGUCCAGUCUGGGGACCAAGACUUGAUUAGAGGUGAAAGAGAGAGGUUAUUUCUCUCUCAAGUAACAUCCGGAGGGACCAAACUGCUACAAACAUCAUCGGCUGCUCUACGAUAAGGAGAAGAUAGGUAAUGGGACCAAAAAAAUGUGGAUCCUGAGUGGUCAUAUAUAUAGCUCAUGACUCCACUCACAAGCGAAGAUCUGAGGAGAAGACUACGCCGAGUUGAACAAUGGUUACGAUCCCGUACCUUGCUGCUGCAUCCACUUACUUCAGCUACGGCUUGCUCUUCACCUUUGGUCAGCUUCGCGAUAUGAUUACUUUCGUCGAAUCUUUGAUUGGUGGCAAACGAAGAAUCUCACAGCUUUCUACAGCAUUGGAGAAUUUCUGUUUACCUUUGGUCACACUUUUUCUCCUAACCCUAAUAUUGGAUACGCUCCCAUCUGCUUGGCUCAUGAAGAUUUCUACAGAAGACGCUUUUAUCAUCGGAUCGGAUUCAGGUAUAUGGAGACUUUGUUUCACAGGUUUGGUGCUUAAUUCUUGGUUCCUAAUGUUUUUUCUUUGUGUGUGUGAGAGUGAAAGACUGUUUUGGACAUCCCAUAGCAGGUGCACCUAAUACAUGGGUUGAUUUGGUCGAGAGAUACUCUGAAGACAACAACAAGACGCUAAAGUGAGUGUGUUUUCUUCUAUUAAACACUUGUAUGGUCACAUUGAGAGAAUAUGAAACCAAAUGUAAACGUUGAGAGGUUGCAACUACGUGCAGACGAACGACAAAGACCAGCAGGUGCCUUUGGGUUCCUACAAUUAUCUUGGAUUUGGUUUCUUGGAUGAAUACUGCACGCCUCGUGUUACCGAGUCUUUAAAGAAAUUUUCAGCAAGUACAUGCAGCUCUCGCGUUGAUGCAGGUACAGUGUCUUUGCCUAUAAGGUCUCAAACAAUCUCUUCUCUUUUGUUUCCUGACAUUUGUUGUUUAUGCCAUCAGGAACUACAUCUGUCCAUGAAGAACUCGAGGAAUGUGUUGCUAAAUUUGUGGGACAGCCUGCUGCUGUUGUUUUUGGCAUGGGCUACCUAACAAACUCGGCUAUCAUUCCUGUCUUGAUUGGAAAGGUAAUGAAUAAACCUUGUGAUAUAUGAACGCUUAUGUUACUCCUAAUACAUAUGUUUCAGGAGCCACUAUCCGUGUUUUCCAACACAACAGUAAGCAUUUCUCAUGCUUCACUUUCCAUACUUCUACUAUACAUUUUUGCAACACUUUUAAGGAAUCCAAUCGGGUCGGGUUUUUUUUUUUUUUAAUUUUGACCCGGAAAUCUUCAAUUGGAUCUUCCCUUAAAUUUUGUCAAAUAUCAAAAACGAAAUUAUUAUAAUAAAAUCUAAAAAAAAUAUAUACUCUCAACUAAUUACUAUACCUAAACACUUUAUUUAUGGAAUAUUUUUUACGAUUUUUAUAGAUAAGGAAAUCAAAUAUGAUGAUUUGAUGCUAAUAUAACAAAUUUGAGAUAAUUUCCUAAAAAAUCUCUACCUAAUUUAAACAUAAAUAUAUGAUUCUCAUUUUACUUUUAUUUGAUCUUAUAUUUAUAUUAUUUUGAAUUAUUAUAAAAAAUAUAUAUAGUUAAUAAAACUUUAGAUUUUUUUCCUGCAUAUGCUAUGAUUCAAAAUUUUAAAAACGGACAUAUAUUACUCAAUCGAUGAAGAAAAAAAUCUACUUAAAAUUUUUAAAGUACAUUUAUUGAUUUUUGACCCGAAAAUUUUCAAUCGGAUCUUUCCUUAAAUUUUGGUAAAAUUUAAAAAUGAAAUUAAUUAAUACAAAUAUAUAUAUAUUUUUUUCUCAAAUAAUUACUAUAUCUAAACUUUUUAUUUAUGGCAUAUUGUCUAUGAUUUUAAUAAAUAAGGAAAUCAAAUAUGAUGAUUUAAUGCUAAUAUAACAAAUUUGAGCUAAUUUCCUAAAAAGUCUCUACCUAAUUUAAACAUAAAUAUAUGUUUCUCAUUUCACUUUUAUAUUAUAUAUAUAUAUAUAUAUAUAUAUAUAUUAUUUUGAACUAUUGUAAUAUAUAUUCCAUUAUUAAAAUUUUCGAUUUUUUCUGCAUAUGCUGUGAUUCAAAAUUUUUUAAACGGACAUAUAUUACUCAAUCGAUAAAGAAAAAAAGUAUGUGUACAAUCUAUAUUAAUAUUUUUGAAGAACAAAUUUGCGCGUUUAAUCAGGUCGUUUUUUUUACUCUGACUCGGAAUUGAGUCAUUCGGAUAUUUCCUUAAUUUCUACAAUUAUCCAAAACGAGACAAUAUACCACGGGUGAAAUCCUAAAAUUAACAAAUCAAAAUAUAAUUAUUUAGUAUUUUAAGAUACAAUUAUAAAUUAUUUUUAUGUGUUGGUCCAGAAACACACAUUAAUUUUAAAAUAUAUAUAUAUUAUAGAAACCAUUUGAAAGUAGAAUUUUAAAUUGAUUCGAAUUAUAUAUCUUUUUAAAAAAGUGUUAUUAAAAAAAUAAUAAAAAUGAUGUUUAAUUUUACGGGAUGAUAUUAGAUGGUGGGACGGGUUUGGAUUAAUAUUAAUUCGGGACAAUAUAUAUCACGGGUGAAAUCCUAGGAUUUUCAAAUUAGCUUUCACCCCUGAUAAAAUUAAAAUAUAAUUAUAUAAUUUUAAAAACUAAACAAAACAAAUACAAAUUAAAUUUCUAUUUUUUAGUUACAAUUAUCUAUUCAUCAGUAUAAAAAGAUUAAAAAAAAUCAAAUAAUUAACCCGCGGUGUACCGCGGGUCAUAUCCUAGUUAAUCCAAUAAAGUGGGUGACAUAUCAUAUUUAUGCUCAUUUGGAAAGAGUUUUGAAAGAACAAAUCGCUGAGGGACAACCAAGGACACACAGACUGUGGAAGAAAAUCAUCGUUGUUGUUGAAGGUAUUUACAGCAUGGAAGGGGAAAUCUGUCAUCUGCCGGAGAUUGUCUCAAUAUGCAAGAAGUAUAAGGUGAGGUAAACCAUCUUUCAUGAUCGACAUAGAUGAGAGAGAGAUUAAGGUAUUCAAUCAACUGAAUUAUCAUUUGUAUGUAAUUUGUUUCAGGCAUAUGUUUAUUUGGAUGAAGCUCACAGCAUUGGAGCAAUUGGCAAAACAGGAAGAGGUGUUUGUGAACUCCUAGGAGUUGACACUUGUGAUGUGGACAUAAUGAUGGGAACUUUCACGAAAUCUUUCGGGUCUUGUGGUGGCUAUAUUGCCGGAUCCAAGGUUAGCAAUUAUAUACCUUUGUUCUCAUUUACUGAUAUUUUGUUUGCACAUGAGUAAAGAAAGAGCUACUAUAGGACCUCAUCCAAUACUUGAAGUACCAUUGCCCUGCUCACCUUUACGCAACAUCAAUUUCAACUCCUGCUGCACAACAAGUCAUAUCGGUUAUAAAAGUUAUCCUUGGAGAGGAUGCUUCAAACAGAGGUAACUCUAUAGUUUCUUUUGGUCUUUGAGCUUCAUAAUCUCAAAGAAACUGGACAGGGGCACAAAAGUUGGUAAGAAUAAGAGAGAACAACAACUUUUUUGGGCUGAGCUCCAGAAGAUGGGGUUUGACGUUCUUGGAGACAAUGAUUCCCCAGUCAUGCCAAUAAUGCUUUACAAUCCAGCAAAAUCGCAGCCUUCUCAAGGGCAUGGUUGCAAGAAAACGUAAGUCUCUUAUUUGUUUUCCCCCAUAUCUCACUUGCUUCCGCACAAAAGAGAGGCACCUCUAUGUUUCAAUGGACACAAUUAACACUUGGAACAGUUGGCAGUCGUGGUAGUCAGUUUCCCAGCUAUACCUCUAUUGCUAGCCAGGGCUCGUUUUUGCAUAUCCGUAUCUCACUUGAGAGAAGAUCUUAUUAAAGCCCUGAAGGUAAUCUUGCGUCGAGUUCACUCGCUUUCUCAGCAUAGUAAACAUGAUUUGAAUCUACCCCAAAAGGCUAAAAGCCUAAGAAUGAGACUGUGCUUAUAGUUCAUCCGCAAAUGGAUUCACACGUUUCUUAAUCAUCUCCGUGUUAUGACAGGUUAUAAGCAGAGUAGGUGACCUUACAGGGAUCAUAUAUUUUACGGCAGCUCCAAAGAAGCAAGAAGACGAGAAAAAUGGCAAUACUUCAAAGUUCAAACUAAGAAUAUAGAAUUUUUUUUCCUUCAAAAACCAAAUUAGAGCACAAAUUCUCUAACAUGGUUGAGUGCACCACUUCAAACCAAUUGACAGCAUUUUGUUACUAAUACAAAAACCUUACAAGUAACACACAUGAAAAUUUCCUGUGUUAACUCAGACCCGCAAUCUUUCUGGUUUUAGCCUCCUAUGGUUCCUCUGUUUCUGCAUGAAGAGUCUAAUUUCUUUUUCUUAAUUGCUCCUGUUUCUACUUAUUGAGAUACCUGAACACUUCACACUGUAUAUAAAAUGCUAGACUAAACACAUUCGUUUUCUUCCCUUGGAACUUCUAGUGCAAAUAGCUACACCUAUUCGAUUGCAAAAUCCUUAUCAUCAUAAGUCAGAGAGUUAUAUAAACCUUAUUCCUCUUCCUCUUCUUUUCCCACUUCUACUUCUACUAAUACUAUUGUGCCUAAUGCAACAUUCAAACAACAAACAUCAAGAUAAGAAACAAUAAAGACGAAUGAAAGAUCUAUAGCGUAAAAAAAAGGCUCUCAUGGUUUCAGACAUUGCAAGCUUACACUCUGCCAUGGCUUUCACUAUCAUCAACAAAAAACAACAAUAACAAAAAAACACCAUUGCUUUUCUUCUUAACCGAUCAAAAUUCUCUCACACACACUCAUGAGAACUCCCUACCAAGCUUCUGAAUAGCACAAAACAUCUUCCUCCUCGAUCCAACAGCAUUAAUCCCCAUAUCUUUAAGAUCUUCCAAUGUCAACAAUGGCAAAACCUCUUCAUCAACCUCAUGUAUCUCAAACAUAGGCCAAUAUCGCCCUAACCCUAACUCUUGUAACCAUAUCUUCACACCUUCUCUUCCUCCUCCACCACCAAUUCCUCCAUCCAUAUUCGAUUCAAAUUCUCUGUUUCCACUACUAUUGUUACUCUCAUACCUUCUUCUACCAUAAAACCCACCACCAUCUCUAUCCAAAGACUCUUCCUUUAUUGGACUCUCUGAAUCUUCUCUACUAAAAUCCCUAAACCCACCUUCCAAUUCUUCCCCUCCACUAAUUUUCUCAUCCCCAUCCCCAAUUUUCGAUACCCAAUUAGAUCUAACUCUCUUUGCUGCUGCUGUAGUUGUCGAUGACCCGACCCGUUUCUUAACCCGCCAACUCCCAACACCAAAAGAAUCCACAUUUCCUUCUCUUUCAUCAUCUAGGGUUCCGAUAUUAUCAUACCCAGAACUCAAAUUCGUUAGGGUUCGAGUCCUCGACGAUUUACUCAUAUCUUUUCUAUUACCACUCGUCGUCGUCGUUUGUGUCCAUUUCGAUUUCCGUCCUUGUGAAUCAUACGCCGCCGCCGCGUGGUGAUGAUGCUGCUGGUACUGGUCUCCGCCGAUUUCGCCUAAUCGAACACUUGGUCUUCUCAAUCGUUUCGAUCCAGCGGCUGUAAUCGCCGUCGCUUCGGCUGAAGUUGACGCCGGAGUAGAAAUAACGCCGCCGUUUGUUUGCUGACCAUCCACUGGUUGCAACUCCGCCAUUCUUUUUCAAAGCCAAAUUGGUUUCUUUAUUUCAGAUUGGAACCGCCAUAGGCAAGUAUGGAGCUACUGGAGAAGAUGAUGAAAGGUCGAGUCUUUGGCUUAGGCUAUUUAGGUUUAUCUGGAGGAAUCAGAAGUGGGUGUGAGAGAAAGAGGAGAGAAUCGUCGUCAUCAGGAGAAUCGAGCAAGGAAGAAGAAAGAGCGAUGUUCACUUACUGACACGUGUGUGUUUGUGCAGUCACUAACAGUUUUUUUAUACAACAAUUGAUCAACAAGUCCCUCAAUUUCCGUCAGUUUCUUUUAAAUGCCUCGAUCUUCAUUUUUUAUCAGUUUUUUCCAUUAUCGAAGGGUAAAAUGGUCAUUUGAUAAUCAUCUUCAACCUGAGACCUGCGAUUUUUCAGAACCCUAGCUUUGGCAGAAGAUUCUUCAACAUCAAACAUCAUUUCUCCGAUUUGGGUAUAUUCUCGCGGUGGCUCAUGUAUCUGAAAGAAGGAUGUUCGUUGCUAUUGAAAGUUCAAAAACCUCUAAUCCCAUUUGUCCUCAACACAAAUCUCAAUGUGAAUCUCCUCACAGAAUCUCCAAACCACGCAGAGAUCAAAGAAUCAGCUGUGUUAAAGAGACUGAGACAAGAGUCAUGUGUUCCCUUAGCUUUGCAUUUCUUCAAAUCCAUUGCUAAUUCAAAUCUUUUCAAGCACACGCCUUUAACAUUCGAGGUGAUGAUCAGAAAGCUUGCAAUGGAUGGUCAGGUUGAUAGUGUUCAGUAUCUUUUGCAGCAAAUGAAACUACAAGGUUUUCAUUGUUCUGAAGAUUUGUUUAUCAGUGUUAUUAGUGUAUAUAGACAAGUGGGUUUAGCUGAAAGAGCUGUGGAGAUGUUUUAUAGGAUUAAGGAAUUUGGUUGUGAUCCUUCGGUGAAGAUAUAUAAUCAUGUUUUGGAUACUUUACUUGGUGAGAAUAGGAUUCAGAUGAUUUAUAUGGUUUAUAGAGAUAUGAAGAGAGAUGGGUUUGAGCCUAAUGUGUUUACGUAUAAUGUUCUUCUUAAGGCGUUGUGUAAGAAUAAUAAGGUAGAUGGUGCAAAGAAGUUGCUGGUUGAGAUGUCGAAUAAAGGCUGUUGUCCUAAUGCUGUGAGUUAUACCACGGUGAUCUCGUCGAUGUGUGAGGUUGGUAUGGUGAAGGAAGGUAGGCAACUCGCGGAAAGAUUUGAACCUGUUGUGAGUGUUUAUAAUGCUUUGAUUAAUGGGUUAUGCAAAGAGCGUGAUUACAAAGGGGGGGUUGAAUUGAUGAGUGAAAUGGUGGAGAAGGGGAUAUCUCCUAAUGUUAUCUCGUACUCUACACUUAUCAAUGAGCUUAGUAAUUCUGGUCAGAUUGAGCUUGCUUUCUCGCUUCUGGCUCAGAUGUUGAAACGAGGGUGUCAUCCAAAUAUCCAUACAUUGAGUUCUCUUGUGAAGGGUUGUUUUGUAAGAGGUACGACCUUCGAUGCUCUAGACAUGUGGAACCAGAUGAUCAGAGGAUUUGGGUUACAGCCGAACGUUGUAGCGUAUAAUACUUUGGUACAAGGAUUUUGUUCCCAUGGGAAUAUAGACAAGGCUGUGUCUGUCUUUUUACACAUGGAAGAAAUCGGAUGUUCUCCAAACAUCAGAACCUAUGGCUCACUUAUCAACGGCUUUACCAAAAGAGGUAGCCUCGAGGGCGCAGUUUAUAUAUGGAAUAAGAUGCUAACUAGUGGAUGCUGCCCAAAUGUUGUGGUGUAUACUAGCAUGGUGGAAGCUCUUUGUAGGCACUCCAAGUUUAAAGAAGCUGAAUCUCUUAUAGAAAUUAUGUCCAAAGAAAACUGUGCUCCUUCUGUGCCAACGUUUAACGCAUUUAUCAAAGGUUUAUGCGAUGCAGGGAGGCUUGACUGGGCUGAGAAAGUGUUUAGACAAAUGGAGCAGCAAUACAGAUGUCCUCCCAACAUUGUAACAUACAACGAGUUACUGGAUGGGCUCGCAAAGGCAAACCGAAUAGAAGAAGCUUAUGGUCUAACCCGAGAGAUCUUCAUGAGAGGUGUGGAGUGGAGCACAUCAACUUACAACACUCUUUUACAUGGAUCAUGCAAUGCAGGUCUCCCGGGGAUAGCUCUGCAGCUAGUAGGAAAAAUGAUGGUCAAUGGUAAAUCUCCGGAUGAGAUAACAAUGAAUAUGAUAAUAUUAGCAUAUUGCAAACAAGGAAAAGCUGAGAGGGCAGUCCAGAUGUUGGAUCUAGUUUCAUGUGGAAGAAGAAAGUGGCGGCCUGAUGUAAUCUCUUACACAAACGUGAUUUGGGGUCUAUGCAGAUCUAAUUGUAGGGAGGAUGGAGUGAUUCUUUUUGAGAGAAUGAUAAGUGAAAGGAUCAUCCCAAGUAUUGCUACAUGGAGUGUAUUGGUUAAUUGUUUUAUCCUCGAUGACAUCUUGAGCCCAUGAUCAGUCUUACCUUAUAGCAAAUAUUGUUCAAUUUUGUUGUGAAGCCACAUGCUUCUCUGUAUGAAUAUAAGAAGCAUUAACUCCGGUAGAUAUAUGGAAAUCUUGUGAUCAGAUGGAGGCUUGGCUUGUGGGUUUUCACUGGACCCGUCAAGAACUCAAAGAAAACAUUUUAAUCCUUACAAGAAAAAUCAGACGACUAGUUUUGGUACCUGACAAAUACAUUGCUGAGAUAUUGGUAAGCAAAUAUUAUGAGACAGAUAUGAUUAUUUGGUCAGCAUUCAUUUAUUCUCUUAUUAUAUUUUUUGUUACAAAUAAGCCAUAUAAGUUGGUUAAUCAUUCUGAUGGUGAUAGACUAGAUUCUUUGGACCUUAUUCUACAAGAAUCUGGAGAUGUGUAUUGAUGUAUGAUUGGAAUUUUUUUGAUUCAGUUUUAAGAUCCGUCUGUCAAGAAGCUGCUCGGAUGACUAUUCCUAACGAUGUUCUCUGGCUAAGGUUUGUGUAUUGAAGCCCUUGAUGAAAUUUGGAAUUAAAGGUUUGGCUUCUAACGAACAUAUAGGAGGGGAAUUUCGAGCCGAUGAAAGAUGAAACUUCCUGCUUCAGCUACCAUUCUGGUUCAAAAAUAUCCUUCAGGUAUUUUCUAAGCUCCCUUUUCCUUGUUAUUUAGGACUUCUCAGAAUUCACUGACAGAUAUUUUCAUUUCCUAUUCGUGCAGCUCAUAGAAACAAAGAGAGGACCAACUGCUGUAUACUAUUCUGCUUAAUAUAAUUUCGAGACUAGUAAAAGGUAAGACAUGUAUUAGAGGCAAGAAAAGAGAACAAAGAACAUAACAUUUGCUUAUGUACUAAAAUUAGACAUCGGACAAUCAAUCUCUAGCUUUGCUCUAUUUCAGUCCUCUAUGAUUAUACCUACAUCUCUGGUGAAGAAAAUUUCGGACAAUAGGAUAACAAAAGAAUUAAACCUAACCUAGAGUGAUAAUCUUCAACUCCUUACAAUGGCGCAAUAGCAGAGGAACUUGCCUUCGAAUGAAUUUAUCGUCGUCCAUUGAUCCUGUUUUGUGCUUAAGUUGUGUAUGGUGGUAAAUCAAUUUUUAGAUGUGCAGUUUCUUAGUCAGCUGGUGUAAUGCAAAGCUGACCAUGUCCUGGACUGUGCUCCAACGGGUACAUGCUUGUGCUUCUCACAAAAUUUUGAUGGUCGCUCACGGGUUUUCUGAGGUGUGAGACCAUUGGACGCUUGUUUUUGUUUCUCUUCUUUACUAUCGAGCAUGAAGCUAAUGGGUCUGAAGAUCCUGCUCCAACUCUCCUGCAUAUAGAAUGGGUUUCCUUUAGAGAAUUGAUAAAUUUUGGCAAAGAAAGAAGAUGAAAUUGUGUUAUUGAUGAUUACCUUAAGAGCUUCUCUGCUGCAAUUCUUGCAGAUCUUAUUGUACUGCGGCUUGGCACCCAUUUUACGACUCGGUUUGGAUCAGCUCUCAUGGGAGAGUGUAUUUUAAUGAGCUAAAAAAAAAAGAAGAGAACCAAGUUAAAACCAAAAACCUUGAAGAGAUCUCUGAAUGUAUAAUAGGCCAAUGCAAAUCUAAUAAACAAAUCAAGUGGUUAUUGCCGUCUAACAACUAGUAUUGGAUAAUAAAGAAAAAUGGGAAACCAGAGACUUACACCCAAGCAUUCCAUCAUCUGGUAAUAAGCUCUACCAUGUAAAGGAGUAUGUCCUUGUCGGGAUUCUGAAAAAUAUCUUGUCCUGAAAGAGUAUUACAAGAGAUUAACGUAAACCAUGGUUGAUACACAGACCGGUAUAGACAGCAAGACAAAAUAAACAUAUGUAGACUUUUUACCACUCUUUAUAACCUGGGUCCACAGUGAAACCAUACAUAUCCACUGAAUCACAAGUCGAGAGAGCAAACUCAAGAGCCUUGAGCCCAGUACCUUUGGCUGCUGACCCAAAUGAAGCACCAAGCAUUAAGUACACAGGGUUUUUUAUUGGGACUUCCUGCAGAAAAAUGAAAAAUCCUCAGAUGAGUUUUGAAAGACCAGGAGCAGAUUACAGAUUUUCAAAACCAAAGGAGCUAAGAGACAAAUAAGUGCAAUGUACAAACCCGAAUCAUCUUGUUCAUAAUAUCAUGAAUUGUUGUUUUUACUAGCAGGACCUCUUGCUUUUUUUCUGCAUACAAAGGAUCAGAGAGGUGUAGAGUAUCUAUUUGCAAGCAUAAAAAACGCAACACACAAAAAUGAAAACAUAUAGAGAAACAAUGGCGAUGAUAACCAUGAAGAAGUGAAAAACAAGAAAACAGUUAGAUCGUACCAUCCAACUCCACAACUUUGUCAAGGGCUUUUGCUGACCCUCGAUUAAGAAGUCGGAAUGUACUUUUUUCUCCCACAUAUUCCUUGUAGUUCUGCAAGAAGAUAUUCCAAAAACAAAAACAAAAGUGAAGAUAAAUGAGUCCAUAGAGGGAACAAAAGAACUGGAAGUUAGAUAAAAAGAACUCAUUAUUAACCUGAAUCGGAGCACCAUUUUCUCUUAGAACUGCAUCGUAAGUAUCUAUCUCCUUUCCGAACUUUGUUUUUAAGAGAUCACCAGAGUUACCAAUAACAGCACAUCGCCCAAACUGCCGGGGAAAAUAUGGUGGUGUUUCAGCAAGCACCAAUGAGAGCUUCUCGAUGCAUAAAGAUUUAUUCUGGCAACGAUUACUGCACCAGAAUGCGAGUUUCAUUAAGGCCAGACAAGGAAGAAGACACCACAGCAUUUUAAACUACUUGUUAUAUUGUGACUGAGACCCAUCAAAGAAGCAAGUUUUGAGCUGUUGUCUAUGAAAACGGACUGUAAUUAUCAUGCAUUUCAUCUAAUGUCAGUCAAUACUUACAGUUGAAUUCCUUUAUUGAUUCUGCGCCAAGCAUAAUCCUCCCAUCCAUUUGGUAAGGCAUCAAUGUAUUCCUUGGUGAGUAUGGUAGAGCUAUUCCUAACCUAGUCAACCAACUCGCCAAUUAACCCAUCACUAUAAAGACUAUAACCAAUUUUAUGAACUGAAACUUUAAAAAGACUUUCUGCAACACCUACUUGUUCCCAUGUAGCUACUGCUUCACACAGGUCAAACUCAUAUGACAGUCCUUCAAGCUCUCCAGACUUUGGAUCUUUCUGUUGUUGUACAUAAUCCAACACAUAGAGUACAAAUAUUCAACCGACCAUUUUUGCUAUAAACUAAGACAAGGACUAUGACAAGCUUACCCAUUUGGGGACAGUAUCCUUGGGGAAGUUUAUUGAAACUUUGCAAUAAUCCCUACCCAUAGCAGCUUGUAGUCCUAAACCAUUUGCACUCUGCAUCCAUUAGAUCAGUUCUAAUCAUCUAAGCUCCAGAUUCAGAGGUAAGAUCUAACACAAGAUAAGGAAGCUAUCACUUACUACGCACUUCUGGAAUCCGCUCUGCAAGGAAUGCAACGCCUCUAAAUCUUCAUUGCUAAGCCGAUUAGACUCGUCUGAAUCCACGGAAGCAUCUUCUUUAUGAUUAAUCAUCUCCAUACUUCAGAAAAAUCACGAAAUACAACACUACAAGAAUCUACACUUAGACAACGAUGGAGUGUGCUUACAUAGAUUAGAGACGCCGAUAAUGUAGAUUAGAACAGCAGAGAUUCCAGUUGUUAGAGCUAAUAAGAAUAUCAAAUGCAAGAGCUUCAUCGAUUCCCCAGUAAGAAACUUCAGCUUCGAGAUUUCAAAGAGACGAUUGUGAAUUUCUCGAUCUUUCUAAGUAACUAAUAAGUUCCGAUCUACGCGAGUGAGUCUGAGAACAGCGUGUAGUCCUCACUCUGAAGAUUAGACGGCAAACAGUUUUUUCACUUAUAAAACGCUGCGUAGAUAACUUAAGACAAGCCAGUGAACGACAAGAUGUUCUAGUGAGUAACAUGAAAACGGCGUCGAUUUGACGGAACGUUAUAUCAAAUGAGAACUGGCCACGUGGCUAUAAACCCCUUCGUCGUUCAUCUUCAUUCAUCUUCAAAAAAACCCUAAACAUUUCUGUAAAAAUCUCUGCUACUUCAAAUUCCAUCAAAGCAGAUUGAUAAAGCUUAAAUAAAGCCCAUGAUGAAAUGUUGAAUCUUUUUUAUUUCAAUGGCGGUUUUAAGUCUGGGUUUCUUCUCUUGCAGAUCCCAUUUUCCUGUUCUUCCCCUGUUUUACUGUUUCUCCAAGGUAACUCUUUGUUAUAUAUACACUUUGUAUAAUUCAAUGUAAUUCGUUUUCAUAUACUUGAAGUCUUGUUCUUUUUUCUUUAUUUUGUUGUUUCGCUUACAGGUUCAGUUCAACACUGUUGCUGCUGCAAUUGAGACUGUGGAUGACAAGGACAGUGAUCAUCUUGAGAAGGGUUCUGAUAGGACGAGUAAGUUACUUAUAACGAAUUUGAUGGAUUUGAAUUGAAAAUUGUGCUUCUUUUUAUCCCCAUGUUAUCUAUAUUUUACUGAGUGAUGGUAGUAGACUCGGACUCAAUUCUCCAAUUUCAGUUAUUAUGUCAGACAUUUGUAGAAAACAUUCACUUAUAGUAUACUGCUAUUUGCUUAUCUUUUGGCUUGAUUUGAUGUUUUUGGUAAUUUUGUGUAAUUUGUUGAAAGGUAAAGCACCAGAGUGGAAGAAAUUGAAUUCAAAAGACCUUGGGAUAACUAGUUCUAUGAUUUCAAAGCCCACACGACUAGUGCUAAAUGGCCUUAAGAGUAAAGGUUGAUUCUUUUUGAUCAUUUGAUAGAAUCUAACGAUGAAAUCUCAAACUUUUCUUUUACCUUUAUCUCUUGCUGGCUUUGACAGUUGCCCAUGACCUGUAGGAUAUGAUGUUUAUCUUGUGGGAGGCUGUGUACGGGAUCUUAUUUUGAAGCGGACGCCAAAAGACUUCGAUAUACUCACUUCUGCGGAACUUAGAGAGGUUGGUUUCCAAUCUAAAAGUCAUCUCUUGAACAUCGUCUUUAUCUGAUUUCGAAAUGGAUUUUUGUUCUUGUUUGAAAUGUCUUUAGGUUGUUCGGACUUUCUCAAGAUGUGAAAUUGUUGGAAAAAGGUUUCCUAUAUGUCAUGUGCACGUUGGGAAUGAGAUGAUAGAGGUUUGUUUUUUUUCUUGUCAAUGAUUUUCUUUUAUAUUACCAAUAUAAGCAUAGCAAAUGCAAAUCAGAACAAUUUGUUAGCUCUCUCUUAAAAUUUCUUUGCAUUCUUGUUGAGUAGGUUUCGAGUUUUAGCACCUCUGCACAAAAUUCUCCAAGAAACAUGAGAACGGGUUCUGGAAAAUCCAAUGGCUCCUAUGACGAGGACAACACCCGUUUGAAUAACUGCUUGCAGCGUGAUUUCACAAUUAAUGGGUAUCUUAUUAAUCCCUUGAUGAUAUCAUACACUCUUUUUUGGAGAUCUCAUAGUUUCUUUCAUUACUUUUCUUUACAUGUUUAUGUUGUUUUUCUUCAAAUCUCAGGUUGAUGUUUGAUCCAUAUGCCGAAGUUGUAUAUGACUAUCUUGGGGGAAUAGAAGACAUUAAAAAAGCUAAGGUGUGAACAUAUUCUGUUAUACCUUUUUCCCUCAGGUAAAUAUUUACAAAUACCUUUCUUCUCAUUGUGGUUCUUUGCUCACAGAUACGGACAGUGUUUCACGCUGGCACAUCUUUUCAAGAGGACUGUGGUGAGUUUUCUGGGAAAAUAAUCAUCUAUGUAACAUGUCCACCUCGGUUUCUUUUACAAACAUCGUUCAGAGUUCAGAGUCUCGAAAAACAAAUUCUUGUAUGAAUACCAUUAAGAGUCCAGAUAAUAGAAGCUUAUCAGGGCUUACCGAAUAUAACAUAUCCAGCCAGGAUUCUUCGUGGGACAAGAAUUGCUGCGCGUUUAGGUUUUACAAUCUCCAAGGAAACAGCUCAUUUCUUAAAGAACCUUUCCUUCUUAGUACAAAGACUCCACAGGGUACUGCUUCACUCCACAAAGAAAUAUUUUUCUCCACAUUAUUUUUACAACAGCAUGUUUAUGAAUGAUUCUGCGUUAUACAUGUAGGGAAGAAUCUUGAUGGAAAUGAAUUACAUGUUAGCGUAUGGAUCAGCAGAAGCUUCUUUACGAUUGUUGUGGAAAUUUGGGAUACUAGAAAUUCUUUUACCAAUUCAGGUGAGUGAUUCCACUCAUCUCUUGUUGUGUCUUAAAAAUGUAUCUUUGCGUCUAUCUAACUUUAAUAUUCACAGGCAGCAUAUCUCGUUCACACUGGGUUCAAGAGACGCGACAAGAGGAGUAACUUGCUUCUGGUAAUAUGCAGAUGCGCAUUUUGCAAUAUUCGUCACAGAGAAGUGUCUAUUGCUUAAAUUAUCGAGUAAAGAACUUAUAGUUAACAUUUCGUCAUGCAGUCUCUCUUUGGAAAUUUGGAUAAAUUGUUGGCUCCUGAUAGACCUUGCCACAGCAGCUUGUGGUACGGUCCUCAUCUAUUAAGUUCCUGUAAACACAGUCCUUACCAUAUACAGUGUAUAAUAUUGUAAUACGCAACAAUAUUGUGUUGGAAAUUUGUAGGCUAACAAUCUUGGCUCUUCACAAAGCACUUGCUGAUCAACCUCGAUAUCCUUCAGUGGUAGCCGCGUUUAGCCUUGCUGUCCACAAUGGUGGAGAUGUUCUAGAAGCUGUAAAAAUCACCAGGAAAGUCACAAAGCCACAUAAUAGAAGCUUCUUUGAGCUACUGGAGCCAGAGGAACUGGACUCCCAAACCUUGUUGGAUGAAGUUAUGGAUUUUGAUUCAUCUAUCAAAGAAGCCUUGGGACAGAUGACUGAUGGGAGGUUUAUUUCUAAGGCUAUGGCAGCGUACCCUCAGGCCCCAUAUUCUGAUAUGGUAAGCGCUCCUAUUUUUCUUAGCUUCAUAUAACAAUAUUUCAGUGAUGGAAAUGCAAAUGCAGAUUCUCCGGAGAACGCCUAGACUAUAGGUUAUGGAGCUUGAUAUAUCUUUUGGUUGAAAAUUACAAACAAAGAUUUCCUCGGUUUAGCUGUUGUCCUAACUCUCUUCUAUCCUUUACUUUUUUACAGGUUUUCAUACCGUUGCAAUUGUAUCUAGAUGCAAGACGUAUAUUCGAGUGUGUGAAAGAAAAUGGGCAGAAGGGAUUUGUGCCUAAGCAAGACAGUAAAAUUGAUUAUACCUCAUUAUCUUCAGGAAACCUUCCAGAAGUUAGACACGUAUUUGCUAGGGUUGUUUUCGACACAGUCUUUCCGUUAAACCCAUCUCAAGAGUUGUAGUCCCUCUUGGAUUGGUUGGGUUUAAACUUGAGAUUCGGUAGAAAGCAAAGGGAUAUGUUUGAUACCUUUCAUAUGUAGAACAUAAUAGCUAGAUAUCCUUUUGCUUUAUGUAGAACAUAUAUGUAGUGAACACCAGUUUUGUACUGUUACAAGAUAGAAACAAAAUAACAAUGAUAGUUGGGAGUUUUUUUCCCUUCUGUUUCUUUAAUGUGACAACUUUGUGAAGAAUGUCCAUGUAAUUUUAUGCGCUUACAGAUGGAGCAAGCGCAGGAGCUGGAGAAGCACCACCAGUUGUUGGCCUAAGAAAAUAAGAAAAUUAUAGGUAAUUGAUGAGUGUCUUUCAUAAUGUUGGUUCUAAAAUGAUUUGAGUGUUGAUGAGACUAUCUUUCAGUGCAGGUGAUGAAAACUUACAAUCCAGCUAAAACUUUAAAAGCUUGGCAACCUUCAGUUCUGAGUAUCAUCCUUGCUGAUGGGUUCUGGCCUACGAUUGAUACUCAGUGGUCUCCAACAUUUAAUUGAGUGAGAGUAUCUGUCAGCUUAACUUUACUUUGUGUUUGGGAGAUACACUUUUAUUGCUUGAACUUUAGCGGUUGAAAGCUGAAAACAUUUUGGGUCCAUAUCUGGAAUCUGAACUAACACUUUCAUGGGAGUUCAAAUAUCCUGUCUAUGUUCAGAACAAUGUAUGUGUCACUUUAUCUCUCUUUCAAAUCCUUGUGCAAGUCAAAACAUUCUUUUUAGACUUAUCGGCUUAAUUGAUGAGUAUUUGUCUUGCCUGCUGUCAGAAACGCUAUGUUCUGUUUGGCAUUCAGCUUCUUCAGAAUUGGUGAUAUUCAGGAAAUGCUCUUGUUGCUUCUUCCGCUGCUCAACUCUCCAUUGGCCAAGGACAAGUCCUCACGCAUUAAAGAGGAUACAUGUAUGGUAUUUUUCUGCAAAACUUUUGGAUCAGAAUAGGGUGAUGACCUCUCUCCCCCAGAUAUGUAGUGUAACUAAUUCAACUAGAAGCUAAGUAAUUGCACAUGAUUGCGUGUUUUGAGGAUAUGAAGUUAGACAAGAGAGCAGUGAUUUUCAUUGGCAAUGGAUGAAGAAUUCAGAGUAUGUUGUUACUUGCGAUCAAAAGAAUGACUUGUGGCAGGGAUUGAAAACAUUGUUUUCUUGUUGAUUGGGUAAUCUGGAAUUAUGGGGUCAUGAAGAUUGAUUUUGCCAUUUUGGUUGUAUUAAAAAAGUCAACGGACGAUCACCAAAAAAAAAAAAAAAAAAAGUCAACGGACGAUUAAACAGAAUAAUAAAAUUGGGCCGAAGCUUAGUAGCCCAUUAAGGCCCACAAAGAAGUGCGAAAACCCUUAACGAGGAUAUUUAUAACUUCUUAUCUUGCUGCUCUCAACGAACUCUUCCCGGCAAAUAAACCGCCACUGUUUUCAUCUUCUCCAUGGCCAGUUCCGGCGAAGUUAAUUUAUUGGGUUUGUUUUGGCUGGCUCUUUCUAAUCUAAUGUAUUGUAAAAACACAUGUCUAGGCUACUCUAGCUGAAGAGCUUGUUUUUGUUUUGUUUUUUGCUGCUCUUCUUUUAGGUAAGCGAGAGCCAGAAGAUGAUUUGGAGACCAACCCUAUUCUGAAGAAACAUAAGGAAAAAUCCGAGGUAACCUAAGAUGGUCAAAUUCCUCUAGUUUUUUGAGAAUUACACUCUGUUCUAAUGGCUACACUUAUGUAACAGGAGACAACGAAAGGAUUUGCUGAGAUCAAAGGAAAGGUCGAGUUGUUGAAGACAAAGUCUGAUCAGGCUCCACUGAAGGUAUGAUAUCUAAAAUAAUUGCACUGUUUGUUGCAUAUAUUAUACAAGUUUAUGUUCAAUUAAGCAUCUCGUUCUUAUUGUCUCCAAAAUGGCUACUCAUGUAACACAACUGUUGCCACAAAGAUGACCUAUGUUCUGAGGAUGAAUCUUUAUAUGAGGCUACUCUUUAUUGUUAAAAUCUUUUUUCUCCUUUGAGUUGUGCUUACACACUUGGCUGUUAAAUUCAGGCAGUUCCCUCAAGAAAAAAGACGCUCUCUGUUUCCCAGGUCUCUUGCCAUACUAACAUAUCAAAUAUGUAAGUAGCACCUUUAGUUUCCUCUUUCGUUCUUGCAGCCAGUUUUUCAUGACUAAUAUUUUAUCCUCCAUUUUUUACAGCAUCAAUUUCUUCAAAGAUGUUGGACAAGUUGUUAGUGUUCGACUUGAUUUAAACCGCGAGGGUAAGCGUUUGUCCAGUGGCUUUGUUGAGUUUGCUUCUGCCAACGAAGCAAAGAAGGUGAGACUAGUUUAUAGUUUAAUCAUGAAAUGUAUUUUACUAGUCAUUUGAAAAGUACCAUAUACUUAUGAUGCAAAGUUUUACAGCUAGUUAUUUGAAAGUGCCUUUGCUAAUUCAAUCUUUUAAUACUGUAGGCGCUGGAUAAGAAGAAUGGUGAAUAUUUGUGUGGUAAUAAGCUUACUCUUAGCAUGGCUGUGACAAAGGCUCCACGAACCAAGUAAAUUAAUUUUCCUUGUUAGAGAGAUUUGUUUCUCUAACACUAACUUAUUGCUAGAGUUUUUAUGGCAUUACAGAAGACUAACUCUAUUAUUUUUGUGAAUUAGGUAUUGCAUAGACCACAAGGUUUGGUAAGGGAUUUAACUAUUUGCAUGUGAAGUUUGUUAUCAAGAACACAUUGGGUGAAGUUUUUGGUAUACACGGAGAGAUGACAAGGCGUUUUGAUAUUCCAGGUACGAAGACUACCUUCGACAAGAAAGCCUUCCGAUAGAAGAAGAGGAGACAUCUCCCGAUUUUGUUGAGGUACCUCUUCUUAUUAUCUUUAAAAUAUAUGAGGCUCAGAAGAAACGCUUAGCUUUUAGUAACACAACUGUUAUCACAAUGUCGAAAGAUGACUUUUUCUGGGGAUGAAUCUUUAGAUGAGUCUACUUUUUGUUGUUAUGCAAUUUAUGUCCUUCUCUCUUUAGAGUCGUGCUAACACACUUGGCUGUUAAAUCCAGAUAGUUCCAGUAAGAAAAAAGACGCUCUUUGUUGCCAAUCUCUCUCCCCAAACUAAGAUGUUACAUAUGUAAGUAGCACCUUAAAUUUCCACUUUAGUUCUCGGAGCAAGUUUUUCAUAAUUGAUAUUUUAUCGUCCAUUUCUGCAGCAUCAAUUUCUUCGAAGAUGUUACAGAAGUUGUUGGAGUUCGACUUGUUGUAAACCCUGAGGGUAAGCAUGUGGGCUAUGGCUUUGUUGAGUUUGCUUCUGCUUACGAAGCAAAGGAGGUGAGAGUAGUUUUGUAGUAAUGAUGAAAAAGUAAUUUGAAAAGUAGUGUCUACUUGUGCUGAAAAUUAUACAAGUAGUUAUUUGAAAGUUCGUUUGCUGAUUAAAUCUUAAAUACUGUAGGCGCUGGAAAAUAAGAAUGGUGAAUAUUUGCACGAUCAUAAGAUUUUUCUUGAUGUGGCUAAGACAGUUCCAUACACUCCACGACCCAAGUAAAUUGACUUUCCAUGUUAUUGUGAUUUGUUUAUGUAACUUACUGCUUGAGUUUUGAUGCCAUUACAGUAGACUAACGCUAUUAUUUUGGUUAAUUAGAUACAAUCUUGUAGAGAAGCUUUGGUAAUGGAUUUAACUAUUUGCUCUUGAGGAUGUUAUCAAGAGCACAUUGGGUGAAGUUUUUGGUGUACUUCGAGAGAUCACAAGGGCUUUUGAUAUUCCAGGUACGAAGACUACCUUCUACGAGAAAGCCGUCUGAUAGAAGAAGAUGAUACACUAGAAGCACUUGAUGAAACUCACAAUUUCGUUGAGGUAUGUGUUCUAAUUAUCUUCAAAAUAUGUCAGGCUCAGAAUAAACACUUAGCGUUUAAUAACAGAACUAUUGCCACAAGUCGAAAGAUGACUGACUUAUGAUGGGGAGAAAUCUUUAGAUGAGGCUACUUUUUGUUGUUAUGCAGUUUAAGUUCUUUUCUCCUUAGAGUCGUGCUAACACACUUGGCUGUUAAAUUCAGGCAGUUGCGGUAAGAAAAAAGAUGCUCUGUGUUUCCGGUUUCUCUCACAAAACUAAAAUAUCAGAUAUGUAAGUAGCGCCUUUAGUUUCCUCUUUAGAUCUUGGAGCAAGUUUUUCAUGACCAAUAUUUUACCCUCCAUUUUUACAGCAUCAAUUUCUUCAAAGAUGUUGCAAAAGUUGUUCUUGUUCGACUUGGUGUAAACUGCAAGGGCAAGCAACUUGGCUAUGGCUUUGUUGAGUUUGCUUCUGCUAACGAAGCAGAGAAGGUGAGAGUAGUUUAGUAAUGAUGAAAUGUAUUUAAGUAGUCAUUUGAAAAGUAGUUAUUUUAAAGUACGAUUGCUGAUUAAAUCUUUUAUACUAGGCUCUGGAAAAGAAUGGUGAAUAUUUGCACAAACGCGAUAUCUAUCUUGAUGUGGCUAAGGCAGAUCCUCCAUACUCUUCUCAACAACCCAAGUAAAUUGAUUUUCCAUGUUAUGGAGAUUUGCUUCUGUAACACUGGUUGUAACUUAUUGCCAGAUUUUUGAUGGCAUUACGGAAGACUAAUGAUAUUAUUUUUGUUAAUUAGGUAUUGCAUAGAUCACAAGGUUUGGUACGACGACUACCUUCGACGAGAAAGCCUUCUGAUAGAAGAAGAUGAGGCAGUGGAAGGACUUGAUGAAACUUCCAAUUUUGUUGAGGUACCUCUCGUUAUUAUCUUGAUAUAUGUCAUGCUUAGAGGAAACGCUUAAGCGUGUAAUGACAGAACUGUUGUGAGAAAGUCGAAAGAUGAACUUAUUCUGGGGAUGAAUCUACUUUUUUGUUGACAUACAAUUUAAGUCAUUUUCUCCUUAGAGUGGUGCUAACACACUUGCUGUUAUAUUCAGGAAGUUACUUUAAGAAAAAAGACGCUCUUUAUUGCCAAUCUCUCUCCCCAAACUAAAAUAUCACAUAUGUAAGUAGCACCUUUAAUUUCCUCUUUCGUUCUUGGAGCAAGUUUUUCAGACUGAUAUUUUAUCCUCCAUUUUUACAGCAUCAAUUUCUUCAAAGAUGUUGCAGAAGUUUUUAGUGUUCGACUUAUUGUAAACCACAUGAAUGAGCGUGUGGGCUGUGGCUUUGUUGAGUUUGCUUCUGCUAACGAAGCACAAAAGGUGAGACUAGUUUAAUGAUGAAAAGUAGUGUAUACUUAUGAUGUCAAAUUUACAAGUAGUUAUUUGAAAGCACCAUUGCUGAUCAAAUCUUUGUACUGUAGGCGCUGGAAAAAAAGAAUGGAGUAAGAUUGCACUUUCUUUGUAUUGUUCUUGACGUGGCUGAGAUAGCUCCAUACCCUCUCCGACCCAAGUAAAUUGAUUUUCCAUGUUAUGGAGAUUUGUUUCUCUAACUUAUUGUUAGAGUUUUGGUGUCAUUGUACAAGUUUAAUGCUAUUAUUUUUGCUAAUUAGGUACACCCUUGCAGAGAAGCUUUGGUAAGUUUUUUAACUAUUUGCCUUUUGAGUUUUGUUAUCAAGAGCACAUUGGUUGAAGUUUUUGGUAUACAUGGAGAGAUCACAAGGGUUUUUGUUAUUCAAGGUAUGAAGACUACCUUGGACGAGAAAGCCUUCUGAUAGAAGAAGAUGAUUUGGAGACCAAACCGAAUAAGAAAAUGAAGCUCUUUGGUGUUCAUAAGAAGGAAAUCUUCCGCGUAUCUUGCGGUAAGAAGACUACCUUCUCUGACGACAAUUGAUAGAAGAAGAUGAAGCGCUUUGGUGUUUUUUGCUUGUGAUACAAUGCAACUUUUUUUGUUACUUCGGUUUUCAGAAAAUGUUCAAUAAAUCGUUAGGCGUCCAGUAGAAGCCUAGCACCUAGAUCAAUUAAUCAGGGCAUGGGCAUAGGCAUUAGUAAAUUAUUUACCUUUUUUGUCAUUUUCAAAAUUUUUAUAAGAAAACAUAAAUGUAUAAAAUAUGGAAUGCUGAAAAGUUACACAAAUCUUUCCAUUGUCGAUCUCAAGAGUUGUAGUCCCUCUUGGAUUGGUUCUGUUGAAACUGACUUCCAUAAGCAGAAACAUAAUAGCUAGAUGUAUGUAGUGAACACCAUUUUUAUACUAUACUACACAAUAGAAACAUAACAAGAAUAAUAAUUGGGAGUUUUGUUUCCCUUUUAUUGCUCUUAUGUGACGGCAAUGCGAGGAAUGUACUUGUAAUUUUAUGCACUUACAGAUGAAGCAAG
Molecule: long non-coding RNA, 73102 nt
Filed under: Arabidopsis lyrata
Lineage: Eukaryota; Viridiplantae; Streptophyta; Magnoliopsida; Brassicales; Brassicaceae
Description: long non-coding RNA (ALYR_LNC001758)
Rfam family: tRNA (bases 3991-4062)
Source: RNAcentral